RNAcentral lists this long non-coding RNA (64699 nucleotides) under Citrus maxima (pomelo). Its description in RNAcentral is "long non-coding RNA (CMAX_LNC003046)". The record is from RNAcentral. Lineage: Eukaryota; Viridiplantae; Streptophyta; Magnoliopsida; Sapindales; Rutaceae.
CUAAACUGUCGUAUGAUUUAAUUGUCUUGCCAGUGAGUUGGGGUGCAUACACUUGCUUCAUAGUCUUUACCACAUUAUUGACUUACUAACUACAAUUUAUCCAUGCACAUUGCACAGGGUGGACUUGGUGGCGCUCAAGCAUUUGCGAAGUCAGAUAAAUUGGUGAAUAUGCUAAAGAAGCAAAAGGAAUCAAAUAGACCUUAUGGUGCUAUAUGUGCAUCCCCAGCUUUAGUGUUGGAGCCCCAUGGCUUACUCAAGGUACGACCGUUUCUGCUUAAAUUAUUUACUCAGAUUUGGAUCACCCAAUCUGAACUUGAUGAAGGAUUAUGAUGUUGUGUGAUUUUAUGAAUGUGGUCGUAUCUCAUGUAAGUCAGUGAUGAAUUAAUUGGAGUUUGCUGACAAAUUAGAAACUGAAAAACUGCUGCUGCUUCAUUAGUUACAUUACCCAAAGAGUUAAAAUAAACAUCCCAAAUUUUGUCCCAAAUUCUGUCCCAAAUGAUAUGGCAUUUAUUGAGUGAUUGUAUUAUCUAACCAACCAAUUGAUGAAUGUCACAUAAUUUGAGAUGGUUUUUUGGGAUAAAGAAUUUGGGAUUUUUACCCGCAAAAAUCCCAAGUACUUCCUGCUCCUGCAAUAUCAUUGCUGUGUAUUUGCUUUCCCCUUAGACAUAUUCAAUUGUGGUUCAGGGUAAAAAAGCUACAGCUUUUCCUGCUAUGUGCAACAAGCUGUCAGAUCAGAGUGAAAUCGAAAACAGGGUUGUGGUUGAUGGCAACCUCAUCACCAGUAGAGGGCCAGGAACUUCUAUGGAGUUUGCACUGGCAAUUGUGGAGAAGUUUUUGGGCCGCAACAAGGCACUUGAGCUUGCAAAGAUAAUGCUUUUCACUCGCGCCUAACGUUUGUAUGGGGACCUGUCUACUAUUAAACUAGUGUGUUUAUUUCUGUAUUGCUACUGCUUGUAGAGAGGGGAAAUGGAAACUUGAAUUCAUGUUUGAAUAUGGAUUCACUGUGUGGGUUUGUACAGCAGUUUGGUUUAUAAAUAAAUGAGUUCAUGGAGUCACUUCAAAUAUUCGGAAUAAACCUGAGUUUAGAUCUGUUAUCAAUGGUCGGAGUCCAAUUGCGAUCGACUCACUGGGAAUUUUAAUUAUGAAUCAUGUUAUAUUCCACCUUUCUCAUAAAAUGUUAACUCGAUUUACAGGAUAAGAAGGAAAAGAAAGACGCUAAGAGAGGAGCAGACACCCAAAAAGAGUUGACCACUUUGUUGGAACAUAAAUCUCUAGAAUAUUGAAAUAAAACACAUACCAUAUCUAGUAUCAAGUAUGUAUGUGCAAGAAGAUACAAAUUUGAAGAUCAGAUUUCUCAUUUCAAUUUAUGUUCUGCUUAGAGCAAUGGCUCUUAUUCCACAAGCACAAGCAGGAAAGAGUACGCACGAAGUUAAGAAACACACAUUGCAAAAGUUGCAUUAACUACUUGCGGCAACAUCAUCCAAGAACUUGACUUUAAUCUUCUUGAGCUUCGCUGCAGCAUCUGUCAUAUGCAUUCUCUUGUCAGGUGACUCCAUACAACAAUCCAAUGCCAAAUCCAUGAUGCUUAAUAAACAAUCCAUUUUGGCAGAAAAAGCUUGCUCUUCUCGCACCAAAUUUGCGUCAACAACUUCACUCAAUCUGUGAGGUAAUGACUCCUUCACCCAUCUCCUUAAACUCAUUUCUUCUGUGAACAUUUGAUCGGUGGGCCUCUUUCUCGUGAAAGUUUCCAUCAAUAACACACCAUAGCUGUAGACAUCACAUUUGGCUGAAACAAUUCCUUCUAAUCCAUACUCUGCAUUUUUUAAUUUUAAUUAUGAAACAAAUGAUAAAACAAAUAAUUUUUUUGAUAAUUAAGGUAACCCAAACUUUGCUCGUGCUUGAAAAAAGAGCAAAAAUUUUAAUUACAAUUGAAACUUUACCUGGUGCCAUAUAACCAAUUGUAGCCAUUGUCAUGGUUUGUGUCACACAAUCUUCUCCUUCACCUAAGAGUUUGGAAAUGCCGAAGUCGCACACAUGUGCCAUCAUAUUUUCAUCCAAGAGAAUGUUGGUGGGCUUCAAAUCACAAUGAAUUAUAGGUGCCGACGAAUGACCAUGAUGGAGAUAUUCAAGAGCCGACCCCACAUCUAUCAUUAUAUUCAACCUCUCUAGAAUGUCUAAGAAAUAAUUGUAAGAAUACAACCACUUCUCGAGACUACCAUUUGGCAUGAACUCAAGUACCAAUGCUUUGAAAUCUGGAUUAGAACAACUGCUAAGGAUCUUUAUGAGAUUUCGAUGACGAACAUUCCGUAAAACUUCACAUUCAGAAUCAAAACUCCUAAAUGCUCUCUCUAGUUGCAGAUUGAAAAUCUUUAUUGCAACAUUAGUCCCGUCGGAAAUGGUUCCUUUAUAAACUGAUCCAAAACUACCUGUACCCAGCAAGUUACAUUCAUUAAAUUCAUCAGUUGCUCGUUGAAUGUCAAGGUAGGAUGUUCUUCUCCAUGUUGCAAGAGGUAGGAAAUCUUCGUGAUCUGAUUUUUUUGUACUCCUCUUUCGGCAUCUUAUGUACAUAAUGAUGAUAAUCACUAUAAGUACAGAGGAUACUAUCGGAGGCAAAAUAUAUUUAAGGACAAUUAGAGCAACGUUCUUGGUGCUUUUGCUGUCACCUUGUUUGCAAGGUGGGACUCGGAGUUUAGGUGGACCACAGAGUGCAUAAUUUCCGAAAAAUGAUUCAGUUGACAAGUUUUUAAAAGACCCCUUAACAGGAAUUUCCCCUUCUAGCCUAUUAUGAGACACAUUAAAUUGUUUGAGAUGUGACAAUAUCUCCAAUGACUUAGGAAUUUUUCCAGAGAGAUUGUUGCCGGAGAGAUCUAAGGAUUCUAAGCUUAUCAAACUGCCAACUGAUUCAGGAAUAGGUCCCUGAAAUUGAUUACGAGCCAAGGAUAGAGUUUCUAGAUCUAUGAGGGCACCAAUGGUUGAUGGAAUAUCACCUAAUAAUUGAUUCCUUGAUAAAUCUAAAACUGUCAAGACCUUUAACUUUUGUACAUUGGAAGGGAGAGGACCAUUUAAUGAAUUAGACGACAAGUUUAUCUCUAAGAUGUACUCAAGGCUCCACAAGGAUGACGGUAUACUAGAAGUGAGCUUGUUGGAGCCUAAGCGGAGUUCUCUUAGAGAUGUCAAACUCGCCAAGCAUGGCGGUAUAUGUCCAGAGAGCUUAUUUCCAUUUAACCUUAUUCCGUAUAUCAACUCCAAGUGGCAAAGAUCAUAGGGAAUGGAUCCUUCCAAAUUAUUUUCUUCAAGAGAUAAACCUUGUAGCCGCUUAAGUCUUCCCAUCGUUGGUGAAAUAGUUCCAUUCAAGUCAUUGAAGCCGAGGCUUAAGAGGAUCAGGCCACGCAACUUACCAAUUUCUUUAGGAAUGCUGCCCCCGAGUUUGCAGUUGGAUGCAUAAAAUUGUCGAAGAGAAGCAGAGAAAUUUCCAAUCACUGGUGGAAGGAUGCCACCCAAUGGAUUAUAAGCUAAGGCUAAAAAUGUUAAAUUUCUGCAAUUAGUCAGAGAAGAGAGAAAACUCCACUGAUCUGCUGAAGAUGAUUCUGUCGUCAAGUUAUUAAAUGCUAAGCUGAGCACGUCGAGGUGUCUCAAGUUGCCAAAUGUAUUUGGAAUAUGGCCCGAGAAUGAGUUGAAGCCCAAGUCUAGGGCAACGAGUUUAGUAGCAUUGGUGAUAGAGUGGGGAAUUAUCCCUAUAAGAUUAUUGGCCGACAAGGCUAAAUACUCUAUGUUCGGAAGCGAGUGGCCAAUCGUUGACGGUAAGCGGCCUGAGAGUUGAUUGCCCCCCAGAGUAAGGAUUCUCAUGGUUGAAAUGUUGAAGAUCGUGGGUGGAAUGAGGCCACUUAAAUUGUUGUCAGCAAAAACAAGAACCUCCAAAUUUUCCAGAUUGCCAAUCUCGGUUGGAAUUUGACCUGCCAUCAGGCCAACAUUGAGGAGUCAUUGAGCUUUUAGCUUAAGGUAAAUUGAGUUUGACAAUGUUACCCUUGAAAAUGUAAAAGGAUCAAAUUAAUUUUAUUACACAAUAAUUUCAGCCAAUAAUGUUCUUUACACAAUAAUUCUGCAAAAUAUGCAUGCAAAUGGAAAAAUAUGCUUCAAUUACAAGAGGUGGUGGAGCGUACCUCGAAGAUUGCUGAAGCUAAGAUCCAGAUACACGAGUUUACUCAAAUUUCCAAUCCUUGAAGGAAUAUUUCCACCAAUAGUAUUGAACUCUGCACGCAGCGUCUCUAGCCUUGAUAAGUUGAAGAGAGAAUUAGGGAUGGGACCUGUGAAACUGUUAUUAUAAAGUCUCAAUAUUCGGAGUUUAGAUAAGACACCAAUCCAUGAUGGAAAGCUUCCGCUCAAUUUAUUGUAAGCGAAACUCACGACUCUGAGUCGACGUAAUUGCCCCAAUUCUUUCGGCAGAUGGCCAUGAAAAUUGUUCUCACUAAUGUCAAGAGACACUAGAAAUGAGAGAUUUCCCAAGUGUAGUGGAAUGGUGCCUCCGAGACCCAUAUCUGAAAGAUUCAAGGCAGUGACUCGUUGAUGGCGUGAACCACAAGAGAUACCAACCCAGCUACAUAUUGGAUAAGAUAUAGACCAAUUAUUUGCCAGGGCACUCCGAUAAUCAAGAAUGUGGGCUUUGAAUGCCAGAAGAGCUGAUUGAUCUGUUGUUAAAUCGUUUAAAGUCGUCACAGCUAAGCUAGCAAUGAGAUACUGUAACACUAACACCGACAUAGGAACAAAGAAGAAUGAUAAGCGCAUAUUGGUCGUUUUUAGUAGUAGUUGCAAGGCGAGAUUGAUACAAGUUUUAAGUAAAGGAAAUUAGCAUAUACUUAUAAUGAGACAUAUGAAUUUGAAAAUAAGAGCAGAAAAAAUAUACAGGAGACUUGCAAAUUGUUAUAUUCUGUCAUUGAGCGAGCCGUCCAAGUAAACGCAUUUACACUUGAACCCUAAAUAAAGGCCUUAUGGCACUUUAAUUGCCAUAAGGAAGAAGAUGCUCAACAUUGCCAAAAGUGUUUUUCUUGAAGUCUCGUCUUCCGUAAUGUUUGUAAAAUCGAGGUUUUACCAUCUCUAAUUAAAUAUUUACUCUUGAUUUAGACCACGUAAUCUAAACUUGACGAAAAAUUAUGAUCUUAUGUGAUUUUAUGAAUGUGGUCUUAUCUCUUAUAAGUCGGCAAUGAAUUAAUUAAAGCUUGCUGACAAAUUACAAGCUCAAAAAUAUCUUUUACUUAUUCACAAUCUUAUUUCAUUUUUUUAUAACAUAAUAUUAAAAAUUUGUCUAUUAAAUUAAUUUAAUAAUUUUUUUAAUAAAAAAUCUCAUUGACGACCAAACAACUAAUUUUUUUUUUAUAAAAGCUUUGCUUGUUAAAAUUAUGCUGAAAAAAACUCUACUUAAGUAAGUUCUAUUUUUUUUAUAAAAGCCAUUUUAUUUCUUUAUCUUUUUUAAUUAUUAUUGGAAAAGUAGCGCAGCUUAUCAAAAAAGGAAAGAAAAAAAAAAGUCAAAGUGACGAGUGGCUUGUUUUUUAAUUUCAAAGUCAAUGCAAAGUAAAAGUACCGAAAUAAUCAGUUUUUAAAUCCAAAUAAGUGGCAAUAAAGGGAGGUCUUGUUAGGGGUGUUCGCGGAUCGAAUUUUAUGGAUUGGACAUCAAUCCAUAUUCGAUCCACGAUUUUACGGAUUAUAAAAUUUCAAUCCAAUUCAAUCCACGGAUUUGUAAAAUUCAAUCCAAAUCCAAUCCAUAAAUCUGCGGAUCAGAUGCAAAUUUGACCUAAUCCAUAUCCAAUCUACAAUUUUGCGGAUUGGUUUGUGGACUGAAAAUUUUUAAUUCUGUCAAAUCCACGAACUAACUAAAUAAAAAAAUUUAAUAUAAAAAUAAUUUUACUACGGAUCAAAUUUAAAAUUAAAUAAGAUUUAAAUAAAUAAAUUGCUUAAAUAAAGCUAGCAAAUACAUUUAAAGUUUCAAAAUAUAACACACCAAAAUGAAAAAAAUAUCAUUCGUUUUAGAUCAAGGAAAUUAACUAUUUAGUAAACUAUAUUUGUUUAUUUAAUUAUUUUUUAUUUUUUAUUAUUAUCGGAUAUGAUAUAAUAUAAUGUUAAUGUAACUAUAUUUUAACUUAUUUAUUUACUAGUAAGUACUAAUAACAUAUUUACAAGUUUUAUUUUUAAUUAAAUAAAUACUUUUUAUUUUUUUGCGGAUUCGCGGAUUUUUACCGAUUUACAGAAGUAGAUCCAUAUCCAAUCCACUGAUUGCGGAUUAUCAAAUUUUCAAUUCAAUCCAAUCCACCAAUCCACGGAUCAGACGGAUUGAGCAGAUCGAAUUAGAUUAUGAACACCCUUAGGUUUUGGUGUGCAUUGUUGAAAACUUGGAAGUCUAUAUGACCAUUUAACCAAACUAUAGGGGUAUAACUGUCACAAAUUUUUAAAAAUAAAUUUUACCAAACAUUUAAAUGAUUUUUUUUUCACAAUUGAUUAUUAAAUUCUAAGUGUUAGACUAUUGUAAGAAUACAAAUAAUUGACAUGGACAUAAUAUUAAAUAAAAUUUACUUAUAUAUAUAUAUAUAUAUAUAUAUAUAUAUAUAUAUAUAUAUUAUUGUUUGUAUAUAAAAAUUGCUAACUAAAAAAUAUUUAUAUUUUAUCAAUUUUAUUUCUUUUAUUUUUUUAUCUCAAGAUAAAUAUAAUAAUAACAAUCUCUCUAAAUUUAAUUAUUUUUGCUCUUUAUUGAAUAAGGAUAAUUUUGAGUUUCUGUAAUAUAUGUGAGGAUAUAUAUAAAAUUGUAUUAAAUAUAUAACUAUUCUCAAAAUUAAAUUUUAAAAAACUAGUUCAUUCUCACUUUUCAUUUAAUUAGGCAAAUGGCCACAGAAAUUGUUCUCCCUCAUAUCCAAAUAAACUGAAAACGAGAGAUUUCGUAAGUGUGGAGGGAUGAUGCCUUCGAAACCCAUCACUGAAAGAUUCAAGUUUGUGACUCUAUGGUAUGAGCACCACAACAUAUGCCAAUUCGACUGCAUAUUGAGUAAGACAUGGACCAAUUAUUCAAGAGAUUCAUGAGCCUUCGAAGUGAGAAAUAAAGCAAAUUAUGUGGUGGUCGUGGGUCAAUUGACUACGUUUCGUGAUCUACGUGCGAUUGCAACAGUCGGUUCAUUAAGUGAAAUUAAUGACUCGUCCACUAUAGUAAGAUACUGUCCUCAUUAGGUUGGUGCUGGGUCAAUUUUAUCCAUGAGUCAACUUACAUUAAUUUGAAUUAAUUUAUAAGAGUAUCUCAUUUUCGUUGAUUACGAGUUGUGAUCGAUGACAUGCACGAAAGCAGUCAAUUUACAGGUCAUUCACUAUAUAUAUGGGGUCUAUGGGUGGAUGGAUCUAACGUAAAUUAAGGGUUGAUGAUGACCCUCGACUUCUAACGACGACCAUCGAAGACGACCUUGACUUUACAUGCAAACACACAAUUCGCUCUCAUACAUUAUGUUUUAAAAUUUCUCCAUUUUCCGGGGCCCCGCUGUCGACCGUACACAGUUUAAUUUGUAUAUACAAGACCUCAUUGUUUCUAGCAAGCAUAGAGCCAUAGACCAUAUUAAUUCCAAUUACAUAAAUCUUCAUUUUUAUCAUGAUUUUGGAUCUCGAGCAGUGUGGAUAUAUCCAACCAGAUCCGCCUCACUGGCAUCCCAAUAUAUUUUAGAAUUGAGUAAUGAGUAUCAAUAAAUGUGUAAUUGUAAAUCUACAACGUUUAAUUUUAAUUUGAGGACUCAAAUGAAUUUAUCCAACAAUACCUCGUUAAAUUAAUAUUCCAUAAAUUUUUAACUUUAAUUAAAUAACAAAUUUUGUCCGUCCCAACUUAGGAUUAACGUGGUAAUUAAUAAUUUGAUAAAUUGUUAGAUAAUAAUUUUUUAAAAAAAUCUUAUUUUUUUAUUGGAUCAAACUGAUAUAUAAAUGAAUAAUUAAUUAAUUUUAAAACUAAAUUCAUGUUAUGUCAAUCAAAUGUUAUUGCAAAGAAGACUAGCAGCGACGCUUUGAAAGGUACACCAAAGCCUUUUGCACCUUCUCCUCCGUGACCACCAAUAGAUACUUCCACCAUUUCAACGUCAUGACAUGAUGUAAGUUUCUUUUGUAGAAUUUGCGAAUUGGUAAUCUUUUACACGCGUAUAUUUAUAUCAUUGUAUAGUUAUAGAUUCAAUUACUUUUAUGAUGCAUUUAUUAAUUUGGAAUUGAAGUAGACAAGAAUGGGCUGUAAUGUGAAUGGAGAAUCGAAAUUAGAAUAAGUUAUUUACUUGAACUGUAGAAAUCGAAAUGAGUUGGAUUGUCAUUAAUGUGUUUACUUUGUCUUGGAAUCAGAAUUGAAAUAAGUUAGUUUAUAACAAAUUACUAAAAACUACUUAAUGAACUAUUGUUAUAAUUAUUAUUUUGUAUUUUAAUUAUUAUGAUUAUUUAUUAAAAAUUAUUAUUGUUAUUAUUACUUAUUGUUAAUAGUAUAUUAAUAUAUUAAUAAAUUAUAAUAAUAUAUUAAAUAACUAUAAUAUAUUAAAAAAUAUACUUGUAUUUACAAGAAAUGACUGAUAAAAUUUCUAAAAUCGUCUUCCUCCCUAAAACUCUUAAUGCCACAGCCCUAAAAAUUAAAAAGAUUUGGGAAUUAUAUGUCUUUUUUAAAAUAUUAAAGGGUGUUUAUUUCCUUAAACGGUGGGGACUAAAAGUCCUAUUCCCAAACGAGUAGUGUGCCGGCGUUGGAGGCUAGAAAGACAAUUUGUUACAUUGCUUCAGAAGUGCUUAAUGGAAAUUUUGGUGAGGCAUCACAUAAUUUAAAGGAUCAGGCUACGGUGCAACUGUGGUACCGUACUACAGUUGCAUCCAGCCGUUUUAAUUCACUUAUAUUGGUGAGGUUCACUGGCAUCCAACGGCUGAAUGCAACUAUGGCACGGUACCACAGUUGCACCACAAGUUUCCCCUAAUUUAAAUUACUGGAAUUUGCAUCAAUGGUUUUUAUUGGUUUAUUUACUCGUCAACAAAUUACUGUAACUGCAGAAAACAGUGUAACACAUUGUAUAAUACGUUAAUACGUUAUAUUGGUCAGUGCUCCUACCAAGGAAAUCUUUUUAAGUUUUGUUAGCAGAAUAUUCUUGUAAGGGUGGAGGCAUAAGAGAUUAAUAAUUUAAUAUCUCUUGUUCAUUAGAAGAUUUUUUUUUUUUGGGAAAAAAAAAGAAGAAGAUGGUUUGUUUAAUGUUGAUAAAUUUUGAAGUACAAUUUUAUAGAUGUCGAAUGUGGGCAAAAAGUAAAGAAGCUCAAACACUUUUCUACAUCUAAACUAAUCAUUAGGAUUUAUAUUAACUAAUAAACCCUAAUAAUACGAGCGUUCAUAAAAACUUCAUAUGAACAUUGAACCAGCAUGGCAUCAUAUUGUAAUAAGUUGUACAGCUGUCAAUCUCUUAUUAGUCAGAUAUAUUCUGAGUUAGUUACAUGAAUGUAGUAUAAAUAUCAUACUCUGUACACAUUCUUAGUUAGUUACUUCAGUAGAAUUUUCUCUCCUCUACUCAAUUUUUAAGUUAUCUUUUAUAUUGGGGGCAAAUGAUAUUUUAUUAACGAAAUGAUUUUGCCCUCUUAAUAAGCUCUCAUUUCUCCGCUUUGAUCAACACAGCCUUCUUUUAUUACAUCAAAAUUCUUCCUCUUUCCAUCAAAAUUUCAUGGAUCUGCCCUUACGUAAAAUCAUAUGAGAGUAUAUAAUAAAAUUAAUUAGGUAUGUUUGGAACAUUUUUGGUAUCCUUAAGCUGAUUUUAUUUUUAUUUUUUUAUAGUAUAUAUUGUCAAAAGUAAAUGCUAUAAACACUUUCGGAAAAAAAGAUGAAGAGCACCUUUGGAGUAAUUUUUUCUAUAGGAACUAACAAAACAACUAAAUGAUGUAUGUAUCUCUAAGAUUUAUUAUUAUUAAUUUUUUUUUCUGUAGUUGACAAAGCAUCAUGAUUGUGUUGGAUGAUAAGAUUAAAGGUGGGAAUGGUCCGAAUGGACCAAUUUUUUAGGAUAAAAAAAAAAAUGAUUCAAUCCUGGGCAUGUUUGGCUAUCGAAACUAGUUGAUUAGUCUAAAGUUUAAUUCAAAAGUAAUGGGACUAUUAAUCCUUAGGAAAAUUAUCAUUUGUAUACUCUAUAGAUGCUCUGUUAUAUAAAAAAUUACAACACUUUGAGAGUGUAUCAAUCGUCCACCCUAAGUUGACAAAAUAUAUCUGCCGUCCAUCAAACCGUUACUUGCUGUUUAAAUAGGAUAGCGCCAGAGGGGUAAUUUGGUCUUUUCAUAUGAUACAAGUGAUAAUUCAAGGGUAUACAAGUGAUAAUAAAAGAAUUUAAAGGUAUACAAGUGAUACUUUUCAAGGGUAAAAUCAUCAAUUCGCUAUAAUUCCGUUAACUUUCAAACGACAGCUAACGGUUUAGUGGUCGGCAGAUAACUUUUUUCAAUUUAGGGUGGACGAUUGAUACACCCUCAAAGUGUUAUAGUAUUUUUUAUAAUAGAACAUCUAUAGGGUAUACGAAUGAUAAUAUCCCUAAUCAAUCCUUAAUUCAACUUAGGUUUAAGUAGUAUAUAAAAAAUCUUCUUUAUCACUCUUUUCAUUUUUAUUUAGAUUAAAAUUCAUAUAAAUAAAUAUAAAGAAUUAAUUUCAUAAUUUAUUUAAACUAAAAUUUUAUAUUAUAUUAAAUAUCCAAAUUUUAAUUCAAUAAUUUAUUUAUAUUAGAAUUUUAUGCAAUAUUAAAUCCCAAAACUUUAUUUAAUAAUUUAUUUACAAAAAUAUUAAUAUCAAAUUCAACAAUUAGUAAUAUAAUUUAAAAUAAUUACACUAUUUUAAUAGUUAUUUAGCUAUAUUAAAUUAAAUUUAACAUAUCCUUGUCCGAUACUAUACUAAACAAACGAUAGUACCUUAUAUAGUAUAGUCAAUCUAUUAUAAUAUAAUUCAAUCUAAUCGAACGUGCCAAAUCAGUACAUUUUAAAAAAUAAUUUUAUAACAGCUUUAAAAAAGCAUUUUUUAAGUUACUUUUACAAAAUGUGCUUUCUCCGAAAGCACUCGUGAAAUGCAAAUUCUCACAAAACACGUGGUGUGUUCAAUUGGGCCUCCGCCCAUUAAAACUACAACCAUGAAAGCAAGCAAUGUUCAUUGGGCUUUAUUCUCUCGAGAAAACUUAUACACGUAGCCCACCACCGGCGCCCUAAUUUGUCUCCACCUCUCUAAAUAGAGUUGGACUAUUGGCACCUUUCCAAAAUUCUUCUGAAAUUCCUUUUUCAAUAAUAUUAAGUUUAAUGCUAAAAAUAUCCUUAUUUCCAAAUAAAUACAUUUAAUUUGUGAAUAUUUUAAUUUUCUAUUAUUUUCUCGCUCCUCACAAACAAAUUUUUAUGGGCGAUAAACUUCUUGAUAAAAAUCAAUUAAUUAAAUAAAAUAUCUAUAAGAUUAUAAUGUAAAAAAUUUUAUUAUGAGUCUUAAAAAAAGACAGAUAAAUUUAUCAGAAUGUGUUUUGUUUAUUAUCAAUAGAUUAUUUUAGUAAUUAAAGAAAAAUUUAUAGAGAAUUUGAGAAAAAAAAUUACGUGUGAGUUUGAUAGCAAAGAAAAUAUAAGAGUUUUUUUUUAAGAGAGAAAAUACAAAAGUUUGAAGUGAGAUAAAAUAGAUAUAAGAUAUAUUAGAGUAUUUAUCCUUAAAUUUAAUUGUAACAAAAGAGAGGUUUUAAAAAGAUUUUGGAGGAGUGUCUCCAACUCCUCUAAAUAUUAUUGAUUGAUGCAUAUGUUUCACAGCAUAGAGUGGCUUACAUUGGAGCUUUUCUAAAAAAAUGAAAAUUUCAUUUAAUUAUUUAUUAUUCACGGAUAAGAAAUUAACUUCUUCUUUUUUCUAACGCCACAGUCUGGUGAGCUUGCCUAGUGUGUUUUAGUUGGAUAAAAAUUUUAGCAAAUGCUUCUUGGCAAGGAAGCUUAAAUAGUUUAACCUGAAUUUAACCUCGAAUGAACCCAAAUUAUUAAACCGAACCAAUCCGAAUUGUGAAUCUGAAUUUCAGUUCGAUUCAGUUUGGUUCAGGUUCGUAUUUUCAACUCGAACAAGUUUAAUGCUCCAAUUCGAUCAGGUUGUAACCUAAACCGAAACUCGAAAACCCGAACUGAAACUCAAUUUGGCCACCCCUAAUGAGAACUGAGAAGUACCUGGAUCGUAAAAGAAAGGUUUUGAUGAUAAUUUUGGCUAAAAAUCUGUUUCUUAACUUCUAUUUUUAUUUUUUUAUGCUGUAUUUUAGUUGCUGAAUAGGUUAUAUAUAGAAGUUCAGUUAAUUUUGUUUUGGAUGAAAAAUCAAUGAGUACUUCUGUGAUUAAUAAGUGAAAUUUUGUUUGCAUCAUAUAGUCAGCUAUAAUGCAUUGGAUGGCUUUGACUCAGCAUGGAAGAAAUGCUCUCCGGCAGAUUACUAAAGAGAGCUCUGAUCGCGUGUUGCAUCACCCAUUGCUAUUUUCUUGUCAAGGAGUCAGAUACAGACGAUUGGAAGUGAUUCUAACAACAAUGAGUAAAUUGAUCUUUUGUUUUCCCUUUUCACCAGUUUGGAUCUCUUGACUAAUCAGCCUGUUUGAGUUUUAACUUGUGUAUUAAUGAUUGGUUUUAUAUGUUCAGAAAGUUGACAAGCUUGGUAAAGCCGGUGAAACUGUGAAGGUUGCUCCGGGGUAUUUCCGGAACCACUUGAUGCCCAAAUUGCUUGUUGUUCCAAAUAUCGAGAAGUUGGCUCAUCUCAUUAGAGAGCAGCGCAGGUAUUUGUUUUUCAUGAUUCUUCUCGGUUGAACUUUUUUUGUUUGGGUUGAGAAUGGUUAAUUCUAGUGAUACAGAAAUUUGCUCAUUUUCUUUAGAUACUUUGUUUAGCCAGUUUGUCAAUUAAUUUGACUCAUGGCUUCAAAUUAUUGCUAAAUUCUCAGUUUGGAAAUAUUUGUGAUUUUUGAAGGGGCAUUACAAGUUAUUAAAGUUUGUUGUGCCUGUGACUUAUUUUCAUCAGAUUUGCCAGCCUGAGGAAGAGGAAGAGGAAGAGGAAGAGGAAGAGGUUAGAGUUAUCCGGAAGUCUGAGGACAAUAUGAGUAGAGAAUUUGAGAAGGCAGCUAGGCGCCUAGAGAAUGCUCGACUGGUUUGUGGCCUAUCUUUUAAUUUCUUCAGAUUCGGGACAAAUUGUCUUGGAGUGAACUGAUGUGUUGCCUUUUCCUUUUUUUUUAGCUUGAAUGAUCUAUUUGCUACAGUUAGGAGUGAACGUCGUAAUGAAUUUUAAAUUAUACUGUUUGUUUCGAUUUACUUUUCUAUCUUAGCUCCAUCAAGUGAUUAGUGGAAUGCUGGUCCUGUGAGUAUAAAAUGAAACUCCUUAAGUUAAAUUCCUUAGGCUGUGUUUAUUUUCUGUAGUGGGAGCGAGGAGUGUAAAUUCUUUUCAUUUCAGUAUUUAUUUCAACAAAUUGGCUCCGGAUUGAGAAUCCCACUCAGUAGACCCCACCCAUUUUUGGAGUGAGAUUCCCAUGGGGAGAGGUGGGAGUGAGAUUCCCACUCCCACCUCUCCCUUUUUUUACAUUUUUUUUAAUUUAAUUUAAUUUAACUUAAUUUAAUAUUUAAUAAAAUAAAAUAAAUAAUAUCAUAUUUAUUUGAAUAAUAUUAUUAUAUUUAUUUUAAAAAUAAUAAUACUAUAUUUAUUUAAUAUUAAUAAUUAAUAAUAAUAAAUAGUUUAUUCUAAGAAAAUAUUAAUUUUGUCCUAAAUAAUAUUAUAUUAUUAUUUUAUAUAAUAAUAAAUUUAAUAUAAUUAUAUUAAAUAAAAUAAAAUAAUGUUUCAUUUUAUAUUUACCCUUCUUUUUUACCCUCUUUUUAUUAAAUUUACUAUAAUUAUAUUUAAUAAAUAUUUAAAUAAUAUUAUAUUUAUUUAAAUAAUAUUAAUAUAUUUAACUAAAUAAUAAUUUGGUUUGAUUCUAAGUCUAAAUUACUUAAAAAUAAUAUUAUUAUAUUAAUACAGAAUUAAUAAUAUUACUUUUAUACCAUCUUUAUUUGAAAAUAUAUUAUUAUUAUUAUUAUAUUUAUUUAAAAAUAUUAGUAUUAUAUUUAUUUAAUAUUAAUAAUUAAUACUAAUAAAUAGUUUAUUCUAAGAAAAUAUUAAUUUCAUACUAUGUUAAUAGUAAAAUAUUUCAUUUAUAUUGCCCUUAUCAAUAAUUUUUAAUUUAUAUAAUUAAAAUUAAAAUUAAUAAAAAAAUGUGAUGUUCAUAAUUAAGAAUAUUAAUAAUUAUUAUAAAUUUACAAAUAUAAAUGUUUAUUCAUUAAAUAUAUUUUUUAUUAACUUUGUAAUUAAAAACUAUAAUUCUUUAAAUAAGGAUAAAAUUGUAAUUUGAAACUAUUUACUCCCAAUCCGAGACAAACUAAACACAUAAAUUGAAUUCUGAUCUCCAUUCCAUGCUUUCAUUUUAGUGUAAGUAAACAACAUACUCCCACUCCCAAUCCUAAGAUUCCCACUCCAAUUCAAAAAGUAAACGCUACCUAAAUACAAGUAAUCUUGCUUUCAGAUAUGAAUUAUCUGAUGGAUGUUGUAUUUUCAAGGUAUUGAGGAGAUUCCCCAAUAUUGAAAAAUUGCGUUCCCGUGCAUCAAAAGAUGAUCCCAUAGAAUUGCGUUCACCUGUGACAAAAGAGGAGCUUGUAGUUGAGGUAUGGAUUUUUAUAUUUCUUGGUUGUUUUUAUACUUGUUUCUCAUCAUAAUAGCAAAAGCAGUUUGUUCUGAGUGAUCUGUGUGGUCUCCUAUCAAUGACUGCCGUUUCUAUCAUUUAGUACUAUUGACUAUGUGUGUAUAAAUAUUUUGUUUUUACCAUGUAAUUUCAUAUUCGAUGCAUUUCUAAUACAUUGCAUAGCGUCCAUGAAUGGGAAUGAUAAAAUAAAUUUCAAGCGUGUUUCAAUAGAUGAAAAAACUUGGAACGAUUUAGAAGGAUUUGCUGAUUAAAUAAUUUUCCAAUUUGUUUGCUUGGAGGAAUUGAAUAGUUAACUGAUUAAAGGAUUUCAAGGUGGUUCGGUCCCGCUGGGCAUUGUCAAUAUCAACGGUCAUUAAUUCCUAUUAUCUGAAAUUGAAUUUCCAGUGUGGCAUGGUAACUUUCUGCUAGGGUGUGAUUGUAUAGUAGCCAAUUGUGAGCAACAGAUCCGCAUAGUAAUAUAGAUUGAAAUUUUGCAUCUUAAUCCAUGAAGAUAUAGAUUUUGGCAAUAUUAUACAAGCACUGGGGAUUACCUUAAAUAUUCUGGACUUGUCAUUGAUAGAGUUUCUUUUACCUAGUUAUUGAUAUUUCUUUCAAUUUUCUAUUUUACUCAUACAAUUUAUACAAUUUUAGGUGGCAAGACAACUUUCGUUUUCUAUUGAGCCUGAAAACCUGCAUCUACCAUCACCUCUAUCUGCUUUUCGAGAAUAUGAGGUUCCUAUGCGCUUACCCAAAGCCAUCCCCCUACCGGAAGGAAAGGUCCAAUGGAUUCUCAAUGUUAAAGUCCGCGGCAAAUAAAUAUUUUUUAGUUAAUUUUUUAAUCAAUAAAAAAAGGUAAUUAAAAAUGUAAUUAAUAAAUUACUUAUUAGCAAAUUAAAAAACAAAUAUUAGCAUAAAAUAAUUGAUAUUUCAUUCUCUUACAACAAUCUUACCAAUUAUUAUUUAUAAAUUAAUUAAUGCAAGUUAAUUUAAAGUAAUGUUUAAUAUUCUUGUAACAACCUUACUAAUAAUUUUUUGAUAAAAAAAUUAAUUUAUUAAAUUAAUCCUAGAAGUAAAAUAAUAAUAAUUAAUUUGUAUUUUAUUUUUAAGAUUAAUUUGAUAAAUUUAAUUUUUUUUAACUAAUAUCUCCAAGAAUAUAGUUGUAACGAUAUUAUUACAAAAGGAAAAAAAAUAUAAGAUUAUAAUAUAUUUACCAGUAAGAAUAAUUUAAAAUAUUUUUUAAGAUAUAAAAAUUAAACGGACACUUAAUUAAAAAAAAAAAAAAAAAACUAAAUAAGUAGUUAGCUUUUAACAUUUCAACCUAGUGGUCAUACAAUCAUGGUGCGGCCCGGGAUGGCUGGCCCAGCCCAUCAUGUAAAAAUCCAUGUCACCCUCAUUCUUAAGCUGCUACUCUGCCACUUGCCACGGAGCUCCCCACAUCAUACCGUACCGAUGCCUCUAGAAAGCUAACUUUAAAAAAAUGGUAUUAAUAAGCGUACGCCACGUCACUCCUCACUCUCUUCUUCGUCACUUUCCUCUCACUCAACAUUUUCUCCCCAAACAAAUUCCUUCUUUGAAAAAUCGCAUUUUCUCCUUCACAGCAACCGCUACAAUGUCUUCAACUUCCAAGAAGGUAAUUUUUUUAAAUUUUAUUUUUUGUUUAGUUUCUUUCUGUUGCCUUUUUGUUUCGUUUUUUGAAUUUUCUGUGUCGUUUUUUUUUUCCCAAGGUUUUGGUGCCUGUUGCGAACGGGAGUGAGCCGAUUGAAGCCGUGAUAACGAUCGAUGUUUUGAGAAGGUCUGGAGCUGACGUCACGGUUGCGUCUGUGGAUAAACAGCUUCGUGUCGACGCGUGUCAUGGUGUCAAGAUUGUCGCUGAUGCUCUCGUGUCUGACUGCCGCGACGCUGUUUCUGAUCUUAUAGCUCUGCCCGUAUGUAUUGCAGCUCACCUCAGCUCAUGCUAAUUUAUGUGAUGUUUGUAUAAUUAUAGAUGAUUACUGCUGAUACUGAAUGUUAAAGCUAAAUAAUUCGUUCUUAAGUCAUCUUCAUUUAAUUUUCGAUUGAAAAUGAAAAAAAAAAUAAUUUUAAGCAAAGAAAAUGUUUAUUUUGUUUUAUUUUUAUUUUUAAAUUUUUGGGAUUUCCUUAUUGUGACUGUUGUCAUUCAUUAUAUGGUCCUAGUUAAAUGUUUCAAGUUGUUGUAGUCUGUGAAACUCUUUUCGAUAUUUGUUCUGGCAUGUACAUUUUUCCUUUCAAUUUAUUUUGUUGCUGAUACUUUGAUUAUGAUAUAUCCUUUUUUGUUUCCCUUGUAGGGUGGCAUGCCCGGUGCUACCAAUCUGAAAGAAUCUGAAGUAUUAGAAACCAUUGUGAAGAAGCAGGCUUCAGCUGGGCGUCUUUAUGCUGCUGUCUGUGCUUCACCUGCUGUGGCAUUAGGGUCUUGGGGUCUGUUGAAGGGAUUGAAGGUAAGAAUUAGAUAAGCCUUUUUUUAUGUUUGGUGUUCUUUUGGGAAUUGCAUUGAUAUUUGUGUUAUACAUCAGUUUUGCUCUCACCGAUGAUUGUUAAGUUCUAAUUUAUGGGGUUAUUCAUUUUUUGUAGGCUACUUGUUACCCGUCAUUUAUGGAGCAAUUAGCUCCUGCUUGUGCAGCAACUGUUGAAUCAAGAGUACAGCAGGAUGGUAAAGUUGUUACGAGUCGUGGACCUGGCACUACUAUGGAGUUUGCCAUUGCACUUGUCGAGCAGUUGUAUGGGAAAGAGAGAGCUGAUGAAGUUUCUGGGCCACUGGUAGUAACUUUUAUAGAUAAUGUUGUUUAAAAAAAUUGUGAGUUAUAUAAUUUGUGGAAAUUCAUUCUAAUAGGUUCAUCUAGUAUGUCAAAUUGGAAGGUUCAGAUGCUAAUAUAUUCCAAAAAAUUUGUUCAGGGGAAAAGUAUGACUUUUUGCAUUAGAGAUUCAUUAGAUGAAGUUGUAUACCUGCUGGCCCAUCUUAAUGUGGUGAAAACGAUGUCUGAUGAGACUGAUAUAAUUAUUGGAAUCUUGAUAAAUGCAUUUGUUGAGCUUGAAUGUCUCCACUGAUCACGUUCUUUUUAAUGUAAGUUCUUUCUCUUGGUAUUUGUCUUUGAAUCUUCUCUUCCUCAUGCUUUCGUCUUCACUGUCACCUUGUGCCUAGGUAAUGCGUGCAAAUCAUGGAGAUGAAUACACUAUUGCUGAAUUCAAUCCAAUUCAGUGGACAUUUGACAAUUCUCCCCAAGUAAGAUUUGACUUCUAGUUUCUUGUAGUUGUUUUUCUUCAUCCGAUGUUUUCAGGGAUACCCAUUUGGCAGUAUAUAAAAGUCUGUGAUAUCUUCUAUACAUAUACAUCAUUGGCUUCAGUCAUUUUCGAACAUAUUGGAGGUAGUAGAUGUAUUUUUAUGAUAUCUCUAAUAAAAUCCCAAGUUUGAUCAAUUACAAAAGAAGUAUGAGCGGUGCUGGACCGGGGGGGAAGAAGAAGUGGGGGGUCGGUGUGGUGGGGGUGUGCAGUGCAUGAAUAAAAGGAAAUGAUAGGGGGUGAAAGUUUGUGCUACCGACAUGCUGUAAAAUGGGGACAUAAUAUUUCAAAUUAGAUAUUGUGUGAUCCUUAAUAUUGCUGACUUUUGCUUAAAAUGGAAUUCUUGAUAACUUCAAAUGUUAAAGUUCUUGGUGAAAUUUUGUACUUUCUUUUCUUUCAGAUUCUUGUGCCUAUUGCAAAUGGUUCAGAGGAGAUGGAAGCUGUUAUGAUAAUUGAUAUUCUGCGACGAGCUAAAGCAAAUGUUGUAGUUGCAUCAGUUGAGGAUAAACCAGAAAUUCUGGCUUCUCGUCAAAUUAAAUUAGUGGCAGAUGUGCUCAUUGAUGAGGCGGCUAAACUCUCGUAUGAUUUAAUUGUCUUGCCAGUGAGUUGGGGUGCUUACUGUUGCUUCAUAGUCUUUACCACAUAAUUGACUUACUAACUACAAUUUAUCCAUGCACAUUGCAUAGGGUGGACUUGGUGGCGCUCAAGCAUUUGCGAAGUCAGAGAAAUUGGUGAAUAUGCUAAAGAAGCAAAAGGAAUCAAAUAGACCUUACGGUGCUAUAUGUGCAUCCCCAGCUUUAGUGUUGGAGCCCCAUGGCUUACUCAAGGUACGACCAUUUCUGCUUAAAUUAUUUACUCAGAUUUGGAUCACCUAAUCUGAACUUGAUGAAGGAUUAUGAUGUUGUGUGAUUUUAUGAAUGUGGUCUUAUCUCAUGUAAGUCGGUGAUGAAUUAAUUGAAGUUUGCUGACAAAUUAGAAACUGAAAAACUGCUGCUGCUUCGUUAGUUACAUUACCCAAAGAGUUAAAAUAAACAUCCCAAAUUUUUUGUCCCAAAUUCUGUCCCAAAUGAUAUGGCAUUUAUUGAGUGAUUGUAUUAUCUAACCAACCAAUUGAUGAAUGACACAUCAUUUGAGAUGGUUUUUUGGGAUAAAGAAUUUGGGAUUUUUACCCGCAAAAAUCCCAAGUACUUCCUGCUCCUGCAAUAUCAUUGCUGUGUAUUUGUUUUCCCCUUAGACAUAUUCAAUUGUGGUUCAGGGUAAAAAAGCUACAGCUUUUCCUGUUAUGUGCAACAAGCUGUCAGAUCAGAGUGAAAUCGAAAACAGGGUUGUGGUUGAUGGCAACCUCAUCACCAGUAGAGGGCCAGGAACUUCUAUGGAGUUUGCACUGGCAAUUGUGGAGAAGUUUUUUGGCCGCAACAAGGCACUUGAGCUUGCAAAGAUAAUGCUUUUCACUCGCACCUAACAUUUGUACGGGGACCUGACUACUAUUAAACUAGUGUGUUUAUUUCUGUAUUGCUACUGCUUGUAGAGAGGGGAAAUGGAAACUUGAAUUCAUGUUUGAAUAUGGAUUCACUGUGUGGGUUUGUACAGCAGUUUGAUUUAUAAAUAAAUGAGUUCAAAGAGUUACUUCAAAUAUUCGGAAUAAACCUGAGUUUAGUUCUGUUAUCAAUGGUCGGAGUCCAAUUGCGAUCGACACACUGGGAAUUUUAAUUAUGAACUAAAAAAUUGUUAUGUUAUAUUCCACCUUUCUCAUAAAAUGUUAACUCGAUUUACAGGAUAAGAAGGAAAAGAAAGACGCUAAGAGAGGAGCAGAGACCCAAAAAGAGUUGACCACUUUGUUGGAACAUAAACCUCUAGAAUAUUGAAAUAAAACACAUACCAUAUCUAGUAUUAAGUAUGUAUAUGCAAGAAGAUACAAAUUUGAAGAUCAGAUUUCUCAUUUCAAUUUAUGUUCUGCUUAGAGCAAUGGCUCUUAUUCCACAAGCACAAACAGGAAAGAGUACGCACGAAGUUAAGAAACACACAUUGCAAAAGUUGCAUUAACUACUUGCAGCAGCAUCAUCCAAGAACUUGACUUUAAUCUUCUUGAGCUUCGCUGCGGCAUCUGUCAUAUGCAUUCUCUUGUCAGGUGACUCUAUACAACAAUCCAAAGCCAAAUCCAUGAUGCUUAAUAAACAAUCCAUUUUGGCAGAAAAAGCUUGCUCUUCUCGCACCAAAUUUGCGUCAACAACUUCAGUCAAUCCGUGAGGUAAAGACUCCUUUACCCAUCUCCUUAAACUCAUUUCUCCUGCGAACAUUUCAUCGGUGGGCCUCUUUCUCGUGAAGGUUUCCAUCAAUAAAACACCAUAGCUGUAGACAUCACAUUUAGCUGAAACAAUUCCUUCUGAUCCAUACUCUGCAUUUUUUAAUUUUAAUUAUGAAACAAAUGAUAAAACAAAUAAUUUUUUGAUAAUUAAGGUAACCCAAACUUUGCUCGUGCUUGAAAAAAGAGUAAAAAUUUUAAUUACAAUUGAAACUUUACCUGGUGCCAUAUAACCAAUUGUAGCCAUUGUCAUGGUUUGUGUCACAGAAUCUUCUCCUUCACCUAAGAGUUUGGAAAUGCCGAAGUCGCUCACAUGUGCCACCAUAUUUUCAUCCAAGAGAAUGUUGGUGGGCUUCAAAUCACAAUGAAUUAUAGGUGCCGACGAAUGACCAUGAUGGAGAUAUUCAAGGGCCGACCCCACAUCUAUCAUUAUGUUCAACCUCUCUAGGAUGUCUAAGAAAUAGUUGUGAGAAUAUAACCACUUCUCGAGACUACCAUUUGGCAUGAACUCAAGUACCAAUGCUUUAAAAUCUUGAUUAGAACAACUGCUAAGGAUCUUUAUGAGAUUUCGAUGACGAACAUUCAGUAAAACUUCACAUUCAGAAUCAAAACUCCUAAAUGCUCUCUCUAGUUGCAGAUUGAAAACCUUUAUCGCAACAUCAGUCCCGUCGGAAAUGGUUCCUUUAUAAACUGAUCCAAAGCUACCUGUACCAAGCAAGUUACAUUCAUUAAAUUCAUCAGUUGCUCGUUGAAUGUCUAGGUAGGAUGUUCUUCUCCAUGUUGCAAGAGGUAGGAAAUCUUCGUGAUCUGAUUUUUUUGUACUCCUCUUUCGGCAUCUUAUGUACAUAAUGAUGAUAAUCACUAUAAGUACAGAGGAUACUAUCGGAGGCAAAAUAUAUUUAAGGACAAUUAGAGCAACGUUUUUGGUGCUUUUGCUGUCACCUUGUUUGCAAGGUGGGACUCGGAAUUUAGGUGGACCACAGAGUGCAUAAUUUCCGAAAAAUGAUUCAGCUGACAAGUUUUUAAAAGACCCCUUAACAGGAAUUUCCCCUUCUAGCCUAUUAUGAGACACAUUAAAUUGUUUGAGAUGUGAAAGUGUCUCCAAUGACUUAGGAAUUUUUCCAGAGAGAUUGUUGCCAGAGAGAUCUAAGGAUUCUAAGCUUAUCAAACUACCAACUGAUUCAGGAAUAGGUCCUUGAAAUUGAUUACUAGCCAAUGAUAGAGUUUCUAUAUCUUUGAGGGCACCGAUGGUUGAUGGAAUAUCACCUGAUAAUUGAUUCCUUGAUAAAUCUAAAACUCUCAAGACCUUUAACUUUUGUACAUUGGAAGGGAGAGAAUCAUUUAACGAAUUUGACGACAAGUUUAUCUCUAAGAUGUACUCAAGGCUCCACAAGGAUGACGGUAUACUAGAAGUGAGCUUGUUGGAGCCUAAGUGGAGUUCUCUUAGAGAUGUCAGACUCGCCAAGCAUGGUGGUAUAUGUCCAGAGAGCUUAUUUCCAUUUAACAUUAUUCCGUACAUCAACUCCAAGUGGCAAAGAUCAUAGGGAAUGGAUCCUUCCAAAUUAUUUUCUUCAAGAGAUAAACCUUGUAGCCGCUUAAGUCUUCCCAUCGUUGGUGAAAUAGUUCCAUUCAAGUCAUUGAAGCCGAGGCUUAAGAGGAUCAGGCCACGCAACUUACCAAUUUCUUUAGGAAUGCUGCCCCCGAGUUUGCAGUUGGAUGCAUAAAAUUGUCGAAGAGAAGCAGAGAAAUUUCCAAUUACUGGUGGAAGGAUGCCACCCAAUGGAUUAUAAGCUAAGGCUAAAACUGUUAAAUUUCUGCAAUUAGUCAGAGAAGAGAGAAAACUCCACUGAUCUGCUGAAGAUGAUUCUGUCGUCAAGUUAUUAAAUGCUAAGCCAAGCACGCCGAGGUGUCUCAAGUUGCCAAAUGUAUUUGGAAUAUGGCCUGAGAAUGAGUUAAAGCUCAAUUCUAGGCCAAUGAGUUUAGAAGCGUUUGUGAUGGAGUUGGGAAUUUUUCCGGUAAGGUUAUUGGCCGCCAAGGUUAAAUACUCUAUGCUCGGAAGCGAGUGGCCAAUCGUUGAUGGUAAGUGGCCUGAAAGUUGAUUGCUAAUUAGAUUAAGGACUGUUAGGGUUGAAAUGUUGAAGAUUGUGGGUGGAAUGGGGCCACUUAAAUUAUUCGCACUAAGAACAAGGGUAUCCAAAUUUUGUAGAUUGCCAAUCUCAGUUGGAAUUUGACCUGUCAUAAAGAUAAACGCCAAAUUGAUGAGUUAUUGAGCUUUUUACUUAACAUAAAUUUUAAUUUCAUAACGCAUGAAAAUCAAAUUUGCCCACAAAAUGUGUGUUAUUAGUUUUAUAAUUUUUUUUUGGGUUUUUUUUGGGGGGGGGGGGGGGGAGAUUGAUAUUGCUACCUCAUAAUUUUUGUAAAACCCCACCCGCUUUCAGAGAAUUAUUGGAACAAGAUUCUUAAAAAAAUUCAAAUAAAGAAGAAGUUUGGAGAAAUAAUCAAUUAAAUCCAUCUUAAUAUACUUUUUGAAACUUAUAUUCUUUUAUCAUAUAUAAUAACUAAGGUUGCUUUAACAUAAAUUUAAUAUAACUAGUCUACUCUCAUAAGGUAGAAUUACUAAAAUACCCACAAAUUUACUUCAACUUCAACUAAACUAACAAAAUGUAUUUGUUGACAUGUGGGGAACUAAAAAUUAUUGAAUUUUAUUUUAGAAAUAUUGUAUUACAAAACAUAAAACAAAAUGCCGAAACUAUAUAUUAGAUACAAUAGUACAUGUUUUUCGGGGUAAUUUGGUCAUUUUAUAUUAUAAGAGUAAAAUAGUCAAAUUAAACUUAUUUUAAAGCAACCGUAAACGGUCAAAGAUUGUUAAAAGCCCUAAGUCAUAAAAGAAAAACAUUAUAAAAAUAAUUUAUUAAUUGUUCAGACUUAAUUUAUAAUUUUAUAACAUAAUGUGAACUUAUUAUAACUAUCUUUUCAAAAUGAGGUGGGUUUGCAAGAAUAAUGAGUGGAAAUAUCCCCACCCUAUAAAAUAAAAAGAAUUUUGCAGCUAUGCAAAUGCAAAUAUGUAGAACGUACCUUGUAGGUUGUUAUAACCUAGAUUCAGAAUGAAAAGGCUGCUAAAAUUUCCUAUCCCUGAAGGAAUAUUUCCAUCAAUAACGUUGUAGAUUGCGUCGAACACCUCCAGCUUCGAUAAAUUGAGGAGAGAAUUUGGGAUUGGACCCGUGAAACUGUUAUUAUAAAGCCUCAACGUUUGUAAUUUGGAUAAGACACCAAUCCAUGUUGGAAUGCUUCCACUCAAUUUAUUGAAACCGAAUCUAAUGAAUCUGAGUCGGCGUAAUUGCCCCAAUUCAUUAGGCAGAUGGCCAUGAAAAUUAUUAUGAGCAACAUCAAGAGAUACUAAGAACGUGAGAUUUCCCAAGUGUAGUGGAAUGGUGCCUCCGAGACCCAUAUCUGAAAGAUUCAAGGCAGUGACUCUUUGAUGGCGUGAACCACAAGAGAUACCAACCCAGCUACAUAUUGGAUAAGAUAUAGACCAAUUAUUUGUCAGAUCACUUCGAUAAUCAACGACACGGGCUUUGAAUGCAAGAAGAGCCGAUUGAUCUGUUGUUAAGUUGCUCAAAGUCGUCAUAGCUAAGCUAGCUAUGGAAUAUUGUACCAACAACAUAGGAACAAAGAAGAAUGAUAAGCACAUAUUGGUCGUUUUUUUUUAUAGAUGCAGCAAUCUAAUUGCUAGGUGAAGUUGAUACAAGUUUUAAGUGAAGGAAACUAGCAUAUACUUAUACAAGAGACGUAUGAAUUUGAAAACAAGAAAAGAAAAAAAUGUACAGGAGAGUGGAGACAUGCAAAUUGGUAUAUUUCAUCAUUGAGCGAGUCGUCCAAGUAAACUCAUACAGACCUGUAAAUUGUUAUAGGCCGCGGUACUUGAACCGUGAAUAAAGGGCUUAUGGCACUUGACUUACCAAAAAGAAGAAGAUGCUCAACAUUGGCAAGGCCUAUGCAUUCUGUCCAUUUGUUCACGUUUUGCCAAGGCUCAGGGCAACCACAAUAUGUUCUUUUUCUUCCCUCUUAAAACAAAAAACAAAAAAAAAAGACGACAUUUACAUUUGGGCUAAUAAUUAUAACUAAACAAUUAAUAAUACUGAGGGUCAGUGGUAAUGUAGCUUUAAAAUAAUUGUUAUUAGUUGUGUCUUAAAAAUAAAGAAAAAAAAUAACUAUACCCAUAUAAUUAAUAAAAUAAUCAUGUAAAUUCCUAAGCUUUUAACAAUAUACACCAAGACCCCCUACCGUUACUUUUUACCAUUUAUUUGGAUGUCACAUGCUUUUUUUUUUUAAUUUUCACAGUGGAUAUCAAAUGCUAAAUUUACUGUUAUUCCCAUAUCAUGUCAUCACUUGCUUCUACACACAUUGAUUGUUUUUCCAAAGUUUCAAAUUGAAUUAAAAACAUUCUAAUUAACCUAAAAAAAACUCAUCCAACCAGAUAUAAAUCAUCUAAUUAACCUAAAGAUAGCUACACCCCCAUAUUAAUUCCAAUUAAAUAAAAUUCAUUUUUGUCAUGAUUUUGGAUCUCGAGCAGGGUGGAUAUAUCCAACUAGAUCCGCCCCAUUGGCAUUCCAGUAUAUUCUGUAAUUGGAAGAGUAUGAAUGACUUAAUUUGUAAUUUUAAAUUUGUAACGUUCAAUUCUAAUUUGAGGAUUCAAAUGAAUUUAUGCGAAUCUAAAAGGGGACUGAAGAUUGGCAUGCAUACAUGCAUACAUAUACAUAUAUAUAUAAAUAGAGAGAGAGAGAGAGAGAGAGAGAGAGAGAGGUAAUAUAACAUUCUUCUUGAUGAAGAUUUUUGUGCCAUACGAAUUAAAGAGAGUAUUGUGUCGAUGUUCGAGGCUAGAGCGACAAUUGGUUACAUUGCUUCAGAGGUGUUUAGUAGAAACUUUGGUGAGGCAUCACAUAAUUUAAAUUACUAGAUUUAGCGAGAUAUAUAUAUUUUCCACAUUGGAUUUACAAGCAUUUCGAGCAGUAUAAUGAAUUAAAAUUACUCGGAAUUGUAAACAGCGAGGAAAGUGAAAUUGCUAAGAAGAUGAAUAUUUUGUUGUUUUGUGGUGUACACGGACUCGUCCAUCGGAUAGGUCGCCCAUGAACAGAGGGAUAGAAAUGUUAUUGCCAAGAAGCAGACUGACUAGCAGUGACGCUUUGAAAAGUCCACCGGACAUCGUCUCCUCCAAGACCACCAAUAGAUUCUUCCACCAUUUCAACGUCGUGACGUGGGGAUCGGAAUUGAAUUAUAGGAUGCUUGUAAGUUUCCUUUGUGGAACUUGUGAAUUUGUGAUGGCAAAAGUCAAUGAUGCAUGUAACUAGCUAGCCCGUGUAGACUCCGUUUUACACUUUUUCAAAACCCAAAAGCACGCUAAAUCUUAAUCUUAAAAGAAUUUUUGAUUCAGUGCUGAAUUUUGGGCUUAUCUUUAAGUAAUCUUUUACCACGCAUGCAUUUUUGUCAUUGUGCAGUCAUCGAUUGCUUCUAAAGAUCGUAAUCCUUAAGAAAAAAUUACUUCUCUUGAAAGUGAAAGCAGGGCAGCUAUUGGCGUAUUGCAUUGCAGCUGCUAUGUGUAGUAGUCAAUUCUUGGAAACAACUAGUUUUCUUAAAUUGUAAACGGUCCCCUUUAUGACUGGGAGAUUUUGAACAAAAUUAAUAUGACGAAUUCUUUGCAGGUGUUGUUCCUUGAAGUCUCAUCUUUCACAAUGUUUCUGAAAUAAAGAUAUUACCAUCUCUGAUUUAAUAUUUAUUCUUGAUUUGUACCACCUAAUCUGAACUUGAUGAAAGAAUAAAGAUUAUGAUCUUGCCUGAUUUUAUUAAUGUGGUCUUAUCUCACGUAAGUCAGUAAUGAAUUAAGGAAAAUUAUCAUUCGUAUACCCUAUAAUUGCUCUGUUAUAAAAAAUACUACAACACUUUGAGGGUGUAUCAAUUGUCCACCCUAAGUUAACAAAAUGUAUCUGUCAUCCACCAAACCGUUAUUUGCCGUUUAAAUAGAAUGACACCAGAGGGGUAAUUUUAUCUUUUCAUAUGAUACAAGUGAUAAUUUAAGGGUAUACAAGUGAUAAUAAAAGAAUUUAAAGGUAUACAAGUGAUAAUUUUAUUUACUUUAAUUUAAGUUUCAAGGGUAAAAUCGUCAAUUCACUAUAAUUCCGUUAACUUUCAAACGGUAGCUAACGGUUUGGUGGUCGGCAGAUAGCUUUUGUUAAUUUAAGGUGGACGAUUGAUAUACUCUCAAAGUGUUGUAGUAUUUUUGAUAAUAGAGCAACUAUAGGAUAUAUGAUUGAUAAUUUCCCAUGAAUUAAUUAAAGUUUACUGUCAAAUUACAAACACAAAAACUGCUGCUGCUUCAUUAUUCACAAUACCUAAAGUCAGUGCAGAACUUAAUAAGUUUUCCAAAAGUUUUACGCUUUCUUUCCCCCAAAUCCCAAGUACUUACUAGAUAUGUCAUGUUUAUACCCAAAGUCAGUGCAGAACUUACUCGAUAUGUCAUGUUUACACAAGAGUUUGUUUAUAAAUAAAUGAGUUGACAAAUAUUUGCCAAAAAAAACGGUGAGUGAUGUCUAGUUCUAUUUUCACAGUUCAGAGUCCAAUUUUGAUUACUGGAAAUUUUAAUUAUGAAGUUGAACUAAGAAUUUGUUAUAAUAUCUUCAACCUUCCUAUACAGUCAUCUGGAAUAAUAAUAUAUCAAAAACAGUAAUAACUCGAUUUACAGGGUGAGAAAGAAAAGAAAGACGCUACGAGGGAAGCAGAGAUUCAAAGACUUCGCCACUUUGUUGGAGGAACAAUUUCAUAAAUCUCCAGAAUAUUGACAUAAAACACAUAACAUACAUAUCUAGCAUUAAGUAUAUUUAUGUAUGUCCAAAGAUAAAAAUUUGAAGAUUAAAUUUAUCAUUUCAAUUUAUGUUCUGCCCAAAGCAAUGGCUUUUAUUCCACAAGCACAAACAAGAAAGAGUACGCACAAAGUUAACAAACACACAUAGCAAACGUGACAUCAACCACUUGCAGCAGCAUCAUCCAGAAACUUCACUCUAAUCUUCUUGAGCUUUUCAGCGGCGUCUUUCGUAGAUGCCCCCUGUUCUGGUGAUUCCAUGCAACAAUCCAAUGCCGAAUGCAUGAUGCUUAAUAAACAAUUCAUUUUAGGAGAAAAAACUUGCUCUUCUCUCACCAAGUUUGCAUCGACAACAUCACUCAAGGCACGAGGUAAUGACUCCCUUACCCAGUCUCUUAAACUUAUUUCUCCUGUAAACAUUUCAUUUGUGGGAUUCUUUCUGGUGAAAGUUUCCAUCAAUAAAACACCAUAACAAUAGACAUCACCUUUGGCCGAAAUCAUUCCUUCUAAUCCUUACUCUGCAUUUUUUUGGUUUCGAUAGAUCAAAUGGAUGUGACAUCAUAAAACAAAUGAUAAACAAAUAGUCUUUUGACAGUCAAGAUGGCCCAAACUUUGACUGUGCUUCGAAAAGAGCGAAAAUUUGAAAUUAUAAUUGAAACCUUACCUGGUGCCAUAUAACCAGUUGUAGCCACUGUCAUGAUUUGGGUCACAGAAUUUUCUUCAUCACCUAAGAGUUCGGAAAUGCCGAACUCACAUGUGCCACCAUAUUUUCAUCCAAGAGAAUGUUGCUAGGCUUCAAAUCACAAUGAAUUACAGGUGCUGAUGAAUGAUCGUGAUGGAGAUAUUCAAGUGCCAGCCGCACAUCUAUCAUUAUAUUCAACCUCUCUAGGAUAUCUAGGAAAUAGUUGUGUGAACACAACCAUUUCUCAAGACUACCAUUGAGCAUGAACUCAAGCACCAGUACUUUAGAAUCUGGAUUGCAACAGCUGCUAGUGAUCUUUGUGAGAUCUUGAUGACGAACAUUCCACAAUACUUCACAUUCAGAAUCAAAACUCCUAAAGGCUCUCUCUAGCUGCAGAUUGAAAACCUUUAUUACAAUAAUAGUCACAUCAUAAAGUGUGCCUUUAUAAACAGAUCCGAAGCUCUCCAUACCUAGCAGGAUACAUUCACUAAAUCCAUCAGCUGCUCGUUGAAUAUCAUGAUAGGAUAGUCUUCUCCAUGUUGUCGAAGAGAACAAAUCUUCUUUAUCUGGAGUUCUUGUUUUCCUAUUUUGAAAUAUUAUGAAGAAUCAUAACAAUUGUUAUUAGUGCAUUGGAUAUAAUCGAAGGCAAAGUAUAUUUCAGGACAAGCAGAGUAGCAUUCUUGGAUCCUUUGCUAUUAUCUUCUUUGCAAGGUGGGACUUGAAGGCCUGGUGGACCACAUAGUGCAUAAUUCUCAAAAAACGAUUGAGCUGAAAUGUUUUUAAAAGGUCCUUUGAUAGGAAUUCCCCCUUCUAGCCUAUUGUGAGACACAUUAAGUUGUUUGAGAUAUGAGAGUGCCUCCAUUGACUUUGGAAUUUCUCCAGAGAGAUUGUUGCUAGGGAGAUCCAAAGAUUCCAACCUUAUCAAACUACCAAAUGAUUUAGGGACCAGACCAUAAAAUUGGUUUCUAGCCAAGGACAAAGUUGCUAGAUCUUUGAGGCCACCAAUACUUACUGGUAUAUCACCUGAUAAUUGAUUUCUUGAUAAAUCAACUCUAUUAAGACCUUUAAGUUUUGUACAUCUGAAGAUAGAUGACCACUUAGAGAAUUUGUUGACAAGUUUACAUACAAGAUGUACUCAAGAUUCCACAAGGAUGAUGGGAUACUAGAAGUGAGCGUGUUGCAGCUUACAAAGAGUGUUUUUAAGGAAUUGAAUAUCUGAAAUCUUGUAUGUAAAUAUUAACACUUAGAGAAUUUGUUGACAAGUUUUUAAGGAUUUACUGAUUAAAUAAUUUUCCAAUUUGUUUGCCUGGAGGAAUUGAAUAGUUAACUGAUUAAAGGAUUUCAAGGUGGUUAGGUCCAGCCGAGCAUUGUAAAUAUUAACGGUCAUUAUGAAUGUGUAAUUCCUAUAUGUGAAAUUGAAUUUCCAUGGUAAAUUUCUGCUAGGGUGUGAUUGUAUGGUAGCCAAUUGUGAGCAACAGAUCCACAUAGUAAUAUAGACUGAAAUUUUGCGUCUUAAGCCAUGAAGAUAUAGAUUUUGGCAAAUAUUAUACAAGCAUUGUUUGCAACACCACAGCUAAUUUGCAGUAGGAUGAAACACUCAGAAUUUUGCCUUUUUCAUGUAUAAAAUUUUAUUUUUUUAAUUGUGAUAUUACAGUUUUGCCCAUCAAGCAUUAUGAAGCUUAAUAUUUGGAUAAAUGUUAGGUUUAAUCUAUAAAUUUUAACUUCAGUGUUUAUUUAGUUUUUAUAUUUUGUAAAAUAUCUCAAGGCAGCCCUAUUAUCAAAUAUUGGCUUGAUCCGUAUAUAUUAACUUCAGUGCUUUAUUUAGGUUUUAUAUUUUGAAAAAUACUUUAAGGCAGUUCUAUUAUCAAAUAUGUUAUGCUCUUGCUUUUAUUUUUUCUUUGUUUUUAUAAUAAUACUCUGAUAACAAUAUUUUUUUACAUUAAUUUUUUAAUCAAUAAAAAGGUAACUAGCAAAUUAACUGAUAAAUUAAUUUGUUAAUUUUUUUAAUCAAUAAAAAAUUUAAUUAAUAAAUUACUUGGUAGCAAAUUAAAAAAUAAAUAUUAGCAUAAAACAAUUGAUAUUUUUCAUUCUCUUACAACAAUCUUACUAAUAAUUUUUUUAUAAAAAAUUAAUUUAUUAAAUUAAUCCUUAAAAGUAAAAUAAUAAUAAUUAAUUUGUAUCUUAGUUUUAAAGUUAAUUUGAUAAAUUCAAUUUUUUAAUUAAUAUCUCCAAAAAUAUAGUUGCAACGAUAUUAUUGCAAAAGUAAAAAAAAAAAUAUAUAUAGAAUUUUAAUAUAACUGCCAGUAAAAAUAACUUGAAAUAUUUUUUAAGAUAUAAAAAUUAAACCAACACUUAAUUAAAAAUAUAAAGAAUUAAAUAAACAUUUAUCUUCUAACAUUUCAACCUACUGGCUAAUGGUCAUACAAUCGUGGUGUGGUCCGGGAUGCCCGGCCCAGCCCAUCAUGCAAAAAGCCAUGUCACCCAUAUUCUUAGGCUGCUACUGCAUUAAAAAAAUGAUAUUAAUAAGCGUACGCCACGUCACUCCUCACUCUCUUCUUCGUCACUUUCCUCUCACUCAACAUUUUCUCCCCAAACAAAUUCCUUCUUUGAAAAAUCGCAUUUUCUCCUUCACAGCAACAGCUACAAUGUCUUCAACUUCCAAAAAGGUGAUUUUUUUUUAAUUUUAUUUUUUGUUUAGUUUCUUUCUGUUGCCUUUUUGUUUCGUUUUUUGAAUUUUCUGUGUCGUUUUUUUCCCCCAAGGUUUUGGUGCCUGUUGCGAACGGGAGUGAGCCGAUUGAGUCCGUGAUAACGAUCGAUGUUUUGAGAAGGUCUGGAGCUGACGUCACGGUUGCGUCUGUGGAGAAACAGCUCCGUGUCGACGCGUGUCAUGGUGUCAAGAUUGUCGCUGAUGCUCUCGUGUCUGACUGCCGCGACGCCGUUUUUGAUCUUAUAGCUCUUCCCGUAUGUAUUGCAGCUCUCCUCAGCUCGUGCUAAUUUAUGUGAUGUUUGUAUAAUUAUAGAUGAUUACUGCUGAUACUGAAUGUUAAGCUAAAUAAUUCGUUCUUAAGUCAUCUUCAUUUAAUUUUCGAUUGAAAAUGAAAAAAAUAAUAAUUUUAAGCAAAGAAAAAUAUAGAAAAUGUUUAUUUUGUUUAAUUUUCAAUUUUUAAUUUUCAGGGAUUUCAUUAUUGUGACUGUUAUCAUUCAUUAUAUGGUCAUAGUUAAAUGUUUCAAAUUGUUGUAGUCAGUGAAAUUCUUUUCGAUAUUUAUUCUGGCAUGUAUAUUUUUCCUUUUCAAUUUCUUUUGUUGCUGAUUCUUUGAUUAUGUUAUAUCCUUUUUUGUUUCCCUUGUAGGGUGGCAUGCCCGGUGCUACCAAUCUGAAGGAAUCUGAAGUAUUAGAAAGCAUUGUGAAGAAGCAGGCCUCAGCUGGGCGUCUUUAUGCUGCUGUCUGUGCUUCACCUGCUGUGGCAUUAGGGUCUUGGGGUCUGUUGAAGGGAUUGAAGGUAAGAGUUAGAUAAGCCUUUUUGAUGUUUUGUGGUCUUUUGGGAAUUGCACUGAUAUUUUUGUUAUGGUUCAGUUUUCUUCUCGCUGAUGAUUGUUAAGUUCUAAUUUAUGUAGUUGUUCAUUUUUCCUAGGCUACUUGUUAUCCGUCAUUUAUGGAGCAACUAGCUCCUGCUUGUGCAGCAUGUUGAAUCAAGAGUACAGCAGGAUGGUAAAGUUGUUACGAGUCGUGGACCGGGCACUACCAUGGAGUUUGCCGUUGCACUUGUUGAGCAGUUGUAUGGGAAAGAGAAAGCUGAUGAAGUUUCUGGGCCACUGGUAUUAGCUUUUAUAGAUAACGUUGUUUAAAAAAAUUAUGAGUUAUAUAAUUUGUGGAAGCUUCAGAUGCUAAUGUAUUCAAGAAAAUAAGUUCAGGGGAAGAGUAUGACUUUUUGCAUUAGUGAUUCAUUAGAUGAAAUUGUAUACCUGCUGGUCCAUCAUAAGGUGGUGAAAACAAUGUUUGAUUUAAUUAAUGAAAUCCUGAAAUAUGCAUUUGUUGAGCUUCAAUGUCUCCACUGAUAAAAUUCUUUUUAAUGUAAGUUCUUUCUCUUGGUAUUGUAUUUGAAUUUUCUGUUCCUCAUGCUUUCGUCUUUACUGUCACCUUGUGCCUAGGUAAUGCGUGCAAAUCAUGGAGAUGAAUACACUAUUGCUGAGUUCAAUCCAAUUCAGUGGACAUUUGACAAUUCUCCUCAGGUGAGAUUGGACUGUUAGUUUCUUGUAUUUGUUUUUCUUCUUCCAUGUUUUGAGGGAUACCCAUUUGGCAGUAAAUAAAAAUCUGUGAUAUCUUCUAUACAUGUACAUAUACAUCAUUGACUUCACUCAUUUGUGAACAUAUUGGAGGUAGUAGAUUUAUUGUUAUGAUAUGUCUAAUAAAAUCCAAAGUUCGAUGCAACUACAAAAGAAGUAUGAGCAGUGCUCGACCAGAGAGGAAAAAGGUGGUUUUUUUCUUUUUUUUUUUUGGGGGGGGGGGGGGGGUUGGUUGGGUGGCAAAGGGAAUGAUAAGUUCAGGGUAUCAACAAGCUGUAAAAUGGCUAUCGAAAAACUGAUAUUUCACAUUAGAGAAUGUGAGGACCUGAAGAUUGCUGACUUGUGGUCAAAAUGGAAUUCUUGAUAACUUUAAAUGUUAAAAAUUCUUGGUGAAAAUUUUGUACUUUUUUUUCUUUCAGAUUCUUGUGCCUAUUGCGAAUGGUUCAGAGGAGAUGGAAGCUGUUAUAAUAAUUGAUAUUCUGCGACGAGCUAAAGCAAAUGUUGUGGUUGCGUCAGUUGAGGAUAAACUAGAAAUUCUGGCUUCUCGUCAAGUUAAAUUAGUGGCAGAUAUGCUUAUUGAUGAGGCAGCUAAACUUUCGUAUGAUUUGAUUGUCUUGCCAGUAAGUGGGGUUGCUAACUCUUGCCUCAUAGUCUUUACCAAAUUAUUGACUUACUAGCUACAAUUUAUCUAUGCACAGGGUGGACUUGGUGGUGCUCAAGCAUUUGCGAAGUCAGAAAAAUUGGUAAAUAUGCUAAAGAAGCAAAAGGAAUCAAAUAGACCUUACGGUGCUAUAUGUGCAUCCCCAGCACUAGUGUUGGAGCCCCAUGGCUUACUCAAGGUAUGACCAUUUCUGCUUAAAUAUUUAUUCUUGAUUUGAAUCACCUAAUCUGAACUUGAUAAAACAUUGUGAUCUUGUGUGAUUUUAUGAACGUGGUCUUAUCUCAUGUAAGUCUGUAAUGAAUUUAUUGAAGUUUGCUGACAAAUUACAAACUCAAAAACUGCUGCUGCUUCAUUAGUUACAGUACCCAAGGAGUUAUGAUAGACAUCCCAAACUUUUUACCCCAAAUUCCCUCUCAAAUGACAUGGUAGUUAUUAAGUGGUUGGUAAUUUUUUAUAAGAUAUAAGUGAAUUAAUUAAUUAUAUUAUUUAAUCAACCAAUUGAUGAAUGUCACGCCAUUUGAGAUGAAUUUUUGGGAUGUGUAGCAAAACUUUAUGCUGAUUUGUUUUGGCUACAUUCAUGUAAAACAUUUUUCCCCAAAUCCCAAGAACUUCCCGCAAUAUCAUUCCUUUGUAUUUGUUUUCCCCUUUAGACAUGUUUAACUUUGGUUCAGGGUAAAAAGGCUACGGCUUUUCCUGCCAUGUGCAACAAGCUAUCAGAUCAAAGUGAAAUCGAAAACAGGGUUGUGGUUGAUGGCAACCUUAUCACCAGCAGAGGGCCAGGAACUUCCAUGGAGUUUGCACUGGCAAUUGUGGAGAAGUUUUUUGGCCGCAACAAAGCACUUGAGCUUGCAAAGAUAUUGCUUUUCACCCGCACCUAAAAUUUGUACCAGGACCCGACUAAUAUUAAACUAGAGUGUUUAUUUCUGUAUUACUACUGCUUGUAGAGAGGCGAAAUGGAAACUUGAAUUCAUGUUUGAAUAGGGAUUCACUGUGCGGGUUUGUACAAGAGCUUGUUUAUAAAUAAAUGAGUUCAUAAAGAGUCAUUUUAAAUAUUUGGAAUAAACGUGAGUUGCUGUUUAGUUCUGUUUUCAAUGUUCACCGUUCAAUUGUGAUCCAGAGCAAUAUAACUACACUCACUGGGAAUUUUAAUUAUGAACCAAGAACGAAGUUGAACCGAGAAUUUGAUACUUUAUAUAUUCCAGUUACCAUAUUUAAGAAAGAGUAUUGAAAAGAAAGACGCUAAGAGAGAAUAUUGAAGUUAAACAGAUACCAUAUCUAGUAUUAAGUCUGUAUGCCAAAGUUACAAAUUCGAAGAUCAGAUUCCUCAUUUCAAUUUAUGUUCUGCUCAAAACAAUGGCUCUUAUUCCACAAGCACAAACAAGAAAGAGUACGAACAAAGUUAACAGAGACACGCAGUGAAAAUUACGCUAAUUGGUUGCAGCAGCAUCAUCCAGGAACUUCACUUUAAUCCUCUUGAGCUUUGCUGCAGCGUCUGUCAUAUUUAUCCUCAUGUCGGGUGACUCCAUACAACAAUCCAAUGCCAAAUCCAUUAUGCUUAAUAUACAAUCCAUUUUGGCAGAAAAAGCUUGCUCUUCUCGCACCAAAUUUGCGUCAACAACUUCACUCAAUCCGUGAGGUAAUGACUCCUUUACCCAUGUCCUUAAACUCGUUUCUCCUGUGAACAUUUCAUCGGUGGGCCUCUUUCUCGUGAAAGUUUCCAUUAAUAAAACACCAUAGCUGUAGACAUCACAUUUAGCUGAAACAAUUCCUUCUGAUCCAUACUCUGCAUUUUUUUUAAUUUCAAUUAUGAAACAAAUGAUAAAACAAAUAAGUUUUUGAUAAUUAAGGUAACCCAAACUUUGCUCGUACUUGAAAAAAGAGUAAAAAUUUUAAUUACAAUUGAAACUUUACCUGGUGCCAUAUAACCAAUUGUAGCCAUUGUCAUGGUUUGUGUCACAGAAUCUUCUUCUUCACCUAAGAGUUUGGAAAUGCCGAAGUCGCUCACAUGUGCCACCAUAUUUUCAUCCAAGAGAAUGUUGGGAGGCUUCAAAUCACAAUGAAUUAUAGGUGCCGACGAAUGACCAUGAUGGAGAUAUUCAAGAGCCGACCCCACAUCUAUCAUUAUAUUCAACCUCUCUAGAAUGUCUAAGAAAUAGUUGUGAGAAUACAACCACUUCUCGAGACUACCAUUUGGCAUGAACUCAAGUACCAAUGCUUUAAAAUCUGGAUUAGAACAACUGCUAAGGAUCUUUAUGAGAUUUCGAUGACGAACAUUCUGUAAAACUUCACAUUCAGAAUCAAAACUCCUAAAUGCUCUCUCUAGUUGCAGAUUGAAAACCUUUAUCGCAACAUCAGUCCCGUCGGAAAUGGUUCCUUUAUAAACUGAUCCAAAGCUACCUGUACCAAGCAAGUUACAUUCAUUAAAUUCAUCAGUUGCUCGUUGAAUGUCUAGGUACGAUGUUCUUCUCCAUGUUGCAAGAGAUAGGAAAUCUUCGUGAUCUGAUUUUCUUGUACUUCUAUUUCGGCAUCUUCUGUACAUAAUGAUGGUAAUCACUAUAAGGACCGUGGAUACUAUCGGAGGCAAAAUAUAUUUAAGGACAAUUAGAGCAACUUUCUUGGUUCUUUUGCUGUUAUCUUGCUUGCAAGGUGGGACUCGAAGUUUAGGUGGACCACAGAGUGCAUAAUUUCCAAAAAAUGAUUCAGCUGACUAGUUUUUAAAAGACCCCUUAACAGGAAUUUCCCCUUCUAGCAUAUUUUGAGACACAUUAAAUUGUUUGAGAUGUGAAAGUGCCUCCAAUGACUUAGGAAUUUUUCCAGAGAAAUUGUUGCCGGAGAGAUCUAAGGAUUCUAAGCUUAUCAAACUGCCAACUGAUUCAGGGAUAGGUCCUUGAAAUUGAUUACUAGCCAAGGAUAGAGUUUCUAGAUCUACGAGGGCACCAAUGGUUGAUGGAAUAUUACCUGAUAAUUGAUUCCUUGAUAAAUCUAAAACUCUCAAGACCUUUAACUUUUGUACAUUGGAAGGGAGAGAAUCAUUUAAUGAAUUUGACGACAAGUUUAUCUCUAAGAUGUACUCAAGGCUCCACAAGGAUGACGGUAUACUAGAAGUGAGCUUGUUGGAGCCUAAGCGGAGUUCUCUUAGAGAUGUCAAACUCGCCAAGCAUGGCGGUAUAUGUCCAGAGAGCUUAUUUCCAUUUAACCUUAUUCCGUACAUCAACUCCAAGUGGCAAAGAUCAUAGGGAAUGGAUCCUUCCAAAUUAUUGUCUUCAAGAGAUAAACCUUGUAGCUGCUGUAAUGUUCCUACAGAUGUUGGAAUAGUUCCGUUCAAGUCAUUGAAGUCGAGGGUUAAGAGGAUCAAGCCACGUAAAUUACCAAUUUCUUUAGGAAUGCUGCCCCCGAGUUUGCACUCGUAAGCAUAAAAGCUUUGAAGAGAAGCAGAGAAAUUUCCAAUUAAUGGUGGAAGGAUGCCACCUAAUGGAUUAGAAUCUAAGACUAAAUAGGAUAGCUUUCUACAAUUAGUCAAAGAAGAGAGAAAACUCCACUGAUCUGCUGAAGAUGAUUCUGUCGUCAAGUUAUUCGUUCGUAUGCUGAGCACGUUGAGGUGCCUCAAGUUGCCAAAUGUAUUUGGUAUAUGGCCUGAGAAUGAGUUAGAGCCCAAGUCUAGACCAAUGAGUUUGGAAGCAUUGGUAAGAGAGUCAGGAAUUGUCCCGAUAAGAUUAUUGAUCGCCAAGGUUAAAUACUCUAUGUUCGGAAGCGAGUGGCCUAUCGUUGAUGGUAGGCGGCCUGAGAAUUGGUUGCUGUGUAGAUUAAGGACUCUUAUGGUUGAAAUAUUGAAGAUCGCGGGUGGAAUGAGGCCACUUAAAUUAUUCGUACCAAGAGCAAGACUCUCCAAAUUUUGUAGAUUGCCAAUCUCGGUUGGAAUUUGAUCUGUCAUAUCGAUUAAACCAACAUUGAUGAGUUAUUGAAUUUUUUGCUAAACAUAAAUUUAAUUUCAAAAUUCAUGAAAAUCAAAAUUUCCCACAAAAUAUGUGUUAUUAGUUUUAUAAUAAUUUAGGGGGUAAUGAUAUUUCUACCCCAUGAUUUUUGUAAAACACACAUGCUUUUAGAAAAUUAUUACCGCAAGAUCACAUUAUUCUUAAAAAUUCAAAUUAAGAAGAAGUUUCUAGAAUUAAUCAAUUAAAUCCAUAUUAAUUUAUAUUUGAAACUUAUAUUCUUUUAUUAUAUUUAAGUACUAAGGUUGUUUUAACAUAAAUUUAAUUGACUAUUUUACCCUCCUAAGGUAAAAGUACUAAAAUCCUCAAAAAUUUACUUCAACUAAACUAACAAAAUGUAUUUAUGACCUAUGGGGCAUUAAAAAUAUUGAAUUUUAUUUUUAAAAUAUUAUAUUACAAAACAUAAAACUAUAUGCUAGAUACUAUAGUACAUGUUUCUUGGGGUAAUAUAGUCAUUUUACAUUAUAAGGAUGAAAUAGUCAAAUUAAACUUAACUUGAAGCACCCGUAAAUGCCAAAAAUUGUUAAAAGACCUAAGUCAUAAAAGAAAAUUAUUAUCAGAAUAAUUUAUUUAGUUAAUUAUCUGACUUAUUGUUAAUUUAUAAUUUUAUAAGCUAUUGUGAACUUAUUGCAAUUAUCUAAUGGAGAUGAGGGGGGGUUUUGCAAGAAUAUGAGCGGCAGUAUUGCCACUCUAUAAAAUAAAAAGAAUUAUGCAGUCAUGCAAAUGCAAAUAUGCUGAACUUACCUUGCAGGUUGUUAUGACGAAGAUCCAAAUCAAAAAGGUUGCUCAAAUUUCCUAUCCCUGAAGGAAUAUUUCCAUCAAUAACGUUGAAACUUGCUUGUAACAUCUCCAAUUUCGAUAAGUUGAAGAGAGAAUUUGGGAUUGGACCCGUGAUAUUGUUAUUACGAAGACUCAUUAUUUGUAAUUUGGAUAAGACACCAAUCCAAGUUGGAAUGCUUCCACUCAAUUUAUUGAAACUGAAACUAAUGAAUUUGAGUCGGCCUAAUUUCCCCAAUUCAUUAGGUAGAUGGCCAUAAAAAUUGUUCAAAGUAACAUCAAGAGACAUUAGGAAUGAGAGAUUUCCCAGGUGUGGGGGAAUAGUGCCUCCGAGACCCAUGCCUGAAAGAUUUAAAGCCUUGACUCUUUGAUGGCGUGAAUCACAAGAAAUACCAACCCAGCUGCAUAUUGGAUGAGAUAUAGACCAAUUAUUUGCUAGGACACUCCGAUAAUCACCGACGUGGGCUUUGAAUGCAAGAAGAGCUGAUUGAUCUGUUAAAUUGUUUAAAGUCGUCGUAGCUAAGUUAGCUAUGGAAUAUUGUAACAACAUAGGAACAAAGAAGAACGAUAGGCGCAUAUUGGUCGUUUUUAAUAGAUACAGCAACAUAAUUGCUAGGUGAGAUUGAAACAAGUUUGAAGUGAAGGAAAUUAGCAUAUACUUAUACAAGAGACAUGAAUUUGAAAACAAGAAAAGAAAAAAUAUACAGGAGACUUGCAAACUGUUAUAUUUUGUCAUUAAGCGAGUCGUCCAAGUAAACGCACGUAUGGACUUGCAAAUUGUUAAACGUCGCUGUACUUGAACCGUAAACAAAGGGUGUGUUUGGUUGGAGGAUUAAAAGUGGGGAUUAGACACUUUUUUUUUUUUUUAAAUUUUAUCCUUAUCUCAUGUUUGGUGCUGUCAAGGGUAUUAGGAUUUAGUUAUCUUGAACUCACAAGCUAAUCUUAAUUUUGUAAAGGAAAUUAUCCCAAGAGGGGUCAUGGGAUUAGUUAGUAUUGGAUUAUAUUGAUAACUCAAUUAAACAUAAUAAUUUAUAAAUAUUAAAAUUAUAGUAAUAUGUGAUAAAUGUAAUAAAAAAAUAUUGAUUUUAAUAAUGUAAAUAAUAAAUUAUACUAAAAAUCAUUAUUAAUUUCACAUUAAAUUAAAAUUCUAUUUUACUUUAUUUAAUUAUUAAAUAUUUUUUAUAAUUCCAAAUUUACGUUAUAAAUUAAUUAUUAAAUUAGUAUUCAAAAAGAUAAAUUUUUAUAAAAUAAUAGAUUAUUGAAUAAAUAUCAUAUAAAUAUCAUAUACAUAUUUAACAAAAUAAUAAUUAUUUAAAUUAUGAUUUCUAUUUCUUUAACGUCAUUGAGGUUGAUUUGUAUAAUUAAUAAUACAAAAUUUUAGUUUAUAAUAAUAUUAAUAAUAAUAAUAACUUGUAAAUUGUAAUAUUAUAAUGUAAAACAUGAUUAUUUAUAGUCCAAUCUAAUAUUGUACCAAACACAAUAUAGUAUUAUAUAUAAUCCACUAUUAUUCAAUCCAAUUCAAUUUUAUCCAAUUUAAUCUAAUCUAAUUCAAUCAAAUCCGGCGGACCAAACCAGCCCAAAGGGUUUAUGGCCCUUUACUUACCAAACAGAAAAAGAUGCUCAACAUUGACAUCUUUGACCCAAUCCAAAUCUAAUCCAUACAUCUGCGGAUCAGAUGCAGAUUUAACCUAAUCCAUAUCCAAUCCACCAUUUUACGGAUUGGUUUGUAGACUGAAAAAUAUUAUAAGAAUAAUUUAUUAAUUGUUCAGACUUAAUUUAUAAUUCUAUAAGAUAAUGUGAACUUAUUAUAACUAUCUUAUCAAAAUGAGGUGGGAUUGCAAGAAUAAUGAGUAGAAAUAUCCCCAACCGAUAAAAUAAAAAGAAUUUUACAGCUAUACAAAUGCAAAUAUGUAGAACGUACCUUGUAGGUUGUUAUAAGCUAGAUUCAGAUACAAAAGAUUGCUAAAAUUUCCUAUCGCUGAAGGAAUAUUUCCAUCAAUGACGUUGUACGUUGCGUGUAACGCCUUCAGCCUCGAUUAAUUGAAGAGAGAAUUUGGGAUUGGACCCGUGAAACUGUUAUUACGAAGACUCAACACUUGUAAUUUGGAUAAGACGCCAAUCCAUGUUGCAAUGCUCCCACUCAAUUUAUUGAAAGUGAAACUAAUGAAUAUGAGUCGGCGUAAUUGCCCCAAUUCAUUAGGUAGAUUGCCAAGAAAAUUGUUCAGGCUAACAUCAAGAGAUUCAAAUGAAUUUUUGAUGGCGCGAACCGCAAGAAAUGCCAAUCCAGGUACACAUUGGAUAAGAUAUAGACCAAUUAUUUGUCAGGAUACUUCGAUAAUCAACGACACGGGCUUUGCAUGCAAGAAGAGCCGAUUGAUCGGUUGUUAAGAUGCAAUAGUGAGUAGUGAAAGUGGUUUGAGGUGGAGAUGCACCGGGAUCUACGGCCAUCCUGAGUUCAGCCAGAAGCAUAAUACUUGGACUCUCAUGAAAAGGUUAGCCAGCCUAUUUUCCUAUCCUUGGUGCUGUUUUGGUGAUUUUCAAUGAGAUAAUGCAUAUGCAUGAGAAAAACGGGGGCAAUGAGAGAAACCUGAAUAGGGUUGCCGAGUUUAGGGAAGCUGUGCAAAGCUGCAAUUUGCAGGAUAUGGGGUGUAAGGGAUAUCCCUAUACGUGGUCAAACAAAAGAUACAGAGAUCAUUUUAUUGAUGAGAGAUUGGACCGUUUUCUGUGUAGUAAAGAUUGGGGGAUUAAUUUUCAAGAAUCUGUAGGCACAAAUCUAGUGAACUGGUCUUCGGACCACUGCCCAAUCAUUCUAGAUUUCCAUGAGCGAAGCCAAAAUUCGAGACAUGCGGGCAAAUCUCUCCCCCGAGAUUAUUAUGAGGAUAUGUGGAGCUCCCACGAAGGCUGUAGGAGUAUAGUCCAGGAAGAGUGGAGCCGGUAUGGGGCUAGAGCUUGGGAAGCCCCUGUUCAGCAAUUUCAAUGAAUAGCCAAAUCUUCCUUGGCCCAGCUAAAACUUUAGAGCAAAACCGAAUUUCAUGGUAGGCAAAGAAAGUAAGAAAAGCUUAUGCAGAGCCUCCAGGAUGCUAUGAGAGGGAAUUCAAAGCUGGAUGAUGGCCAGGAAAUUAGGAGAUUGGAAAGUCAGAUUAACUCUAUGCUAGUUGAUGAGGAGAUUUACUAGAAACAGCGUUCGAGGGCCGACUGGCUUAGAGAAGGGGAUAAGAACACGAAGUAUUUUCACGCCAAAGCAUCUGCCCGCAAAAGGAAGAACAAGGUGUGGGGGAUUGAGAAUGACCAGGGCAUUUGGUUGAAGGAAAGGGAUGAAAUAGAGGAGGAGAUUUGCAGCCAUUUCCAAAAGCUUUUCACUACUUCCAGCCCGACUCCAAGCCAAAUCCAAGCAACCCUUCAAGGCAUGACAACAAAAGUAACUCCGGAGAUGAAUGUUCAGCUGGAGAAGCCGUUCACCGCUGAAGAUGUUGAGGAAGCCCUUGCCAACAUGUGUCCCACAAAGGCCCCAGGGCCUGAUGGUCUUCCAGCUGCCUUCUUCCAGAAGCAUUGGAAAUCUGUCCGUAACAGAGUGAUCUCAACGUGCCUUAAUGUCCUUAAUGAGCAAGGUAACCCAUCUACCCUCAAUCACACCUUUAUAGCUUUGAUUCCAAAAAUUGCAAAUCCUAGGAAAGUGAGUGAUUAUAGACCUAUCAGCCUCUGUAAUGUUAUUUAUAGAGUUGUAGCUAAGGCCAUUGCAAAUAGAAUGAAGCCGAUCUUUUCCCAAAUCAUCUCCCCUAUGCAAAGUGCAUUCAUCCCCAAUAGGCUCAUUACCGACAAUGUUAUUAUUGGUUAUGAAUGCCUUCAUAAAAUUAGGCAUAGCAAAGGGAAGAAGAACGGACUUGUAGCUUUAAAAUUGGAUAUAAGUAAGGCUUAUGAUAGAGUUGAGUGGCCUUUUUUGGAACAAACUAUGCUAAAGAUGGGGUUUCCUAGUAAUUGGGUAGCUCUGAUAAUGAGAUGUGUUAUUUCCACUUCAUUCUCGGUGCUAAUUAAUGGUGUGCCAAAAGGAAUGAUCCAGCCAAAAAGAGGCUUGCGACAGGGCUGCCCGCUAUCCCCGUACCUUUUUAUCCUUUGUGCAGAGGCUCUCUCCAAUUUGCUGGUUGUGGCAGAACAGAACCAGCUAAUCCAAGGGCUCAAAUUUGCGCGGGAAGUUUCAAUUACGCACUUGCUGUUUGCGGACGAUAGCUUGGUAUUCUCUCGUGCAUCAGUGGCUGAAUGCAGGCAUUUAAAAGAAAUGUUUGAUAAAUAUGCUGCAGCAUCAGGGCAGAUUUUUAAUUUUCAGAAAUCCUCACUGUUCUUCAGUGGAAAAAUUCCAGAGCAUCAACGGGCUGCUAUAAGGGGUAUCUUUAAUCUAAAUGUAGUCUCAAAGCAUGAGAAAUACCUUGGCCUACCAUCAAUGAUUGGGAGAAAGAAGAUGGGGUUCUGUAACGACAUCAAGCUGAAAGUGUUGAACAAGAUUGCAGGAUGGCAGCAUAAAAUGUUGUCUAGUGGGGGGAAGGAAGUUCUGAUCAAAGCGGCAGCCCAAGCAAUUCCGGCGUAUGCAAUGAGUGUUUUCAAGCUCCCAAGAGGCUUUUGUGAUGAUAUUCAGCGAGCUAUAGCGAAGUUCUGGUGGGGCUCGAAAGGGGAUAAGCACGGAAUCCAUUGGCGAAAAUGGGAGAAGCUCAGCCAGGCAAAGAUUAGAGGGGGGCGGGGAUUUCGAGAGUUUUCUUGCUUCAAUCAAGCGCUGGUAGCUAAGCAAGCUUGGAGGUUACUGCAGUACCCAAAUUCGCUGGUCUCCAAAGUCCUUCAAGCAAGAUAUUUCAGGAAUUCCAGCUUUUUAUGUGCAAAGGCAGGAGCCAAUGCCUCGUAUAUUUGGAGAAGCAUCAUGUGGGGUAGGCAGGUGAUUAAGAAGGGUAUGAGAUGGCAGAUAGGUAAUGGCAAGAAGGUAGCAAUUUUCUCGGAUAACUGGCUGCCAAGACCAGAGACCUUCAGACCUAUCUUCCCUCCAUCUUUGCCCGUAAGCUCAGUUGUUGCAGAUUUAAUUAAGGCUGAUAAUCAAUGGGAUGAAAUAAAGCUUCGACAGCACUUCAUGGAUGUAGACACAGCAGAGAUCCUCAAGAUUCCCCUCCCAACUGAGAAAGAAGAAGAUGGAGUGCUUUGGGAUUACGACAAAAGAGGGAACUACUCUGUCAAGAGUGGGUAUCAGCUAGCAUUGAGAUCAAAAUUUCCAGAUUCCACCAGCUGCACAGAGGCUUCCCACAAGUACUGGAGUGCCCUUUGGACACUGGAGUUGCCUGCGAAGCUUAAAAUUUUCAUGUGGAGGGCCUCUAAUAAUCUGCUUCCAUCGGUGGAAAAUCUGUGGAAAAGGAAGGUAGUGGAGGAGCCAACUUGUAAGCGAUGCAAACUGAGUGUUGAGACUAUCAGCCAUGCUCUCUUGGAGUGUAAGGUAGCGAGAAAAAUUUGGCUCCAAUCCCCCUUUUCAGGCCUUAGAUUAGAAGCCAAUUCUCAGGACAUUUUCAGCACUUUGCAAAAUAUGGCUAAGGAGAUGAGGAAAUCAGAUCUGGAAUUAAUGGUAGCUCUGUGUUGGUCUGCCUGGUAUGCUAGGAACAAAUGUAUCUUCGAUGGCAGGGAGAUUAAUCCUAUUAUAUCAGCUGCUAAAGCGGAGUCUGUUUUGUCAGCUUUUCAGAGAGUUAGGAAGCCCCAGCAAGCUCACAUCUCUAUCUUCAUAAAAGAGAAGCAGCAGGAGUGGCUCCCCCCUCCCCCGAAUGUUUUUAAAGUUAAUGUGGAUGCUGCUCUUAAUUCAAAGAAUCUGAGUGCAGGAGUGGGAACUGUGAUUAGAGACUCUAAUGGAAAGAUAGUUGCGGCUGGGGUAAAUCAGAACCUCCUAAAGGGGUCAGCUAGCUUGGCUGAAGCAGAGGCGGUGCUUUGGGGCCUUCAGCUGGCGAGAAAGGCGGAUGUAUCCUCUUUGAUUAUUGAGUCUGAUUGUUUAGAGGUGGUCCAGCUAGUGAACAACACCAAGGGCAGCAGAUCAGAAAUUUUUUGGACAAUUCUGGCAAUCCAAAACCAGAUGAAGAACUUCCAGAAAGUGGUUGUCAAUCACAUUCCAAGACAUUGUAAUGCUUGUGCCCAUUACCUAGCUAAGAUAGCUUUGGGGAAAAUCUCUCCCUGUAUGUGGCUGGGAAAUAUUCCAGCUGAAUUGUAUGGUAUUAUCAAGGUGUUGUGAUUAAUGAAAGGUUUACUUUCUUUUCAAAAAAAAGAAGAAUGAUAAGCGCAUAUUGGUCUUUUUUUUUAGAUGCGUCCAUCUAAUUGCUAAGUGAAGUUGAUACAAGUUUUAAGUGAAGGAAAUUAGCAUAUGCAUAUACAAGAGGCGUAUGAAUUUUGAUAACAAGAAAAGAAAACAAUAUACAGGAGAGUGGAGGCUUGCAAAUUGUUAUAUUUCAUUAUUUAGCGAGUCGUCCGAGUAAACGCGUAUAGACUUUUAAAUUGUUAUACGCCGCCGUACUUGAACCGUGAAUAAAGGGCUUAUGGCACUUGAGUUACCAAAAAGAAGAAGAUGCUCAACAUUGGCAAGGCCUAUGCAUUCUGUCCAUUUGUUCACGUUUUGCCGAGGCUCAUGGCAACCACAAUAUGUUCUUUUUCUUUCCUCUAAAAAACAAAAAGACGACCUUCACAUUUGGGCUAAUAAUUAUCACUAAACAAUUAAUAAUGCUGAGGGCUAGUGGUAAUGUAGCUUUAAAAUAAUUGUUAUUAGUUGCGCCUUAAAAAUAAAGAAAUAAAGAUAGUUAUACUAUACCCCCACAAUUUAAUAAAAUAAUCAUGUAAAUUUCUAAACUUUUAACAAUAUACACCAAGACCCCUUAUGUUACUUUUUACCAUUUAUUUGGAUGUCACAUGCUUUUUUUUUUUUUUUUUUAAAUUUUUCACUGCAGAAAUUAAAUGCUAAAUUUACUGUUAUUCCCAUAUCAUGUCAUCGCUUGCUUCUACACAUAUUGAUUGUUUUUCCAAAGUUUAAAAUUGAAUUAAAAACAUUCUAAUUAACCUAAAAAUUAAAAAAAAAACUCAUCCAACCAGAUAUAAAUCUUCUAAUUAACCUAAAGAUAAGCUACACCCCCAUAUUAAUUCCAAUUAAAUAAAUCUUCAUUUUUGUCAUGGUUUUGGAUCUCGAGCAGGGUGGAUACAUCCAACCAGAUCCGCCCCAUUGGCAUUCCAAUAUAUUAUGGAAUUGGAAGAGUAUCAAUGACUUAAUUUGUAAUUUUAAAUUUGUAACGUAUAAUUCUAAUUUAAGGAUUCAAAUUAAUUUAUGCGGAUCUAAAAGGGGACUGAUGAUGGGCAUGCAUACAUACAUGCAUACAUAUAUUUACAUAGAGAGAGAGAGAGUGAGGUAAUAUAACAUUCUUCUUGAUGAAGAUUUUUGUGCCAUACGCAUUAAAGAGAGUAUUGUGUCGAUGUUGGAGGCUAGAGGGACAAGUGGUUACAUUGCUUCAGAGGUGUUUAGUAGAAACUUUGGUGAGGCAUCACAUAAUUUAAACUACUAGAUUUAGCGAGAUAUAUAUAUUUUCCACAUUGGAUUUACAAGCAUUUGGAGCAGGAUAAUGAAUUUAAAUUACUCGGAAUUGUAAACAGCGGAAAGUGAAAUUGCUAAGAAGAUGAAUAUUGUUGUUUUGUGGUGUAUACGGACUCGUCCAUCGGAUAGGUCGCCCAUGAACAGAGUGAUAGAAAUGUUAUUGCAAAGAAGCAGACUGACUAGCAGUGACGCUUUGAAUAAAUCCACCAAACAUCUUCUCCUACAAGACCACCAAUAUAUUCUUCCACCAUUCAACGUCGUGAUGUGGGGAUCAGAAUUGAAUUAUAGGAUGCUUGUAAGUUUCCUUUGUGGAACUUGUGAAUUUGUGAUGGCAAAAGUCAAUGAUGCAUGUAACUAGCCGGCCCGUGUAGAGGCCGUUUGACUCAUAAAUAUUUGUCACUUUCACUCUUUUUCAAAACCCAAAAGCACGCUAAAGCUUAAUCUAAAAAGAAUUUUUGAUUUAGUGCUGACAUUUUGGGCUCACCUUUGAGUAAUGUUUUACCACGCAUGCAUUUAUGUCAUUGUGCGGUCAUCCUUUACUUCUAAAGAUCGUAAUCUUUAAGAAAAAAUUACUUCUUUUGAAAGUGAAAGCAGGCCAGCUAUUGGCGUAUUGCAUUGAAGCUGCUAUGUGUAGUAGUCAAUUCUUGGAAAGAACUAGUUUUCUUAAAUUGUAAAUGGUCCCCUUUAUGACUGGGAGAUUUUGAACAAAAUUAAUAUGAUGAAUUCUUAGCAAGUGUUGUUCCUUGAAGUCUCAUCUUUCACAAUGUUUUUGAAAUAAAGAUAUUACCAUCUCUGACUAAAGAUUUACUCUUGAUUUGGACCACCUAAUCUGAACUUGAUGGAUGAUUAUGAUCUUGCCUAAUUUUAUGGAUGUGGUCUUAUCUCACGUAAGUCAGUAAUGAAUUAAUUAAAGUUUACUGUCAAAUUAUGAACUGAAAAACUGCUGCUACUUCAUUAUUCACAAUGCCCAAAUUCAGUGCAGAACUGAUUAUAAGUUUUCCGAAAGUUUUACGCUUUCUUUCCCCCAAAUCCCAAGUACUUCCUGUAAUAUCAUUCCCCUAUAGAUGUCUUCCCCUGAGACAUUUUUAACUUUGGUUCAGGGUAACAAAGCUAUAGCUUUUCCUGUCGUGUGCAACAAGCUAUUAAAUUAGAGUAUUUAUUUCUGUAUUACUACUAGUAGUAAGAGAGGCGAAAUGGAAUCUUGAAUUCAUGUUUAUACAACAGUUUGUUUAUAAAUAAAUGAGUUGAUAACAAGUCAUUUUAAAUAUUUGCAAAAAAAAAAACGGUGAGUGAUGUCUAGUUCUAUUUUCAAUGUUCAGAGUCGAAUUUUGAUUACUGAAAAUUUUAAUUUAUGAAGUUGAACUAAGAAUUUGUUAUAAUAUAUUCCACCUUCCUAUACAGUCAUCUGGAAUAAUAAUAUAUCAAAAACAGUAAUAACUUGAUUUACAGGGUGAGAAAGAAAAGAAAGACGCUACGAGGGAAGCAGAGAUUCAAAGACUUCGCUACUUUGUUGGAGGAACAAUUUCAUAAAUCUCCAGAAUAUUGACAUAAAACACAGAACAUAUCUAGCAUUAAGUAUAUUUAUGUAUGUCCAAAGAUAAAAAUUCGAAGAUUAGAUUUAUCAUUUCAAUUUAUGUUCCGCCCAAAGCAAUGGCUUUUAUUCCACAAGCACAAACAAGAAAGAGUACACAAAGUUAACAAACACACAUGUUGAUGCGAGAUUCUGGUUGUCCUCGUUCUACGACCAGGGUCUCUGCUCGAUCAACUUCACCACGACCAGGAUCUCUCCUCGUAAAGCUUCUUCUCCAGAGGUUCCUGCGCACACAGACAGGUCAGAGUACGCCGGUUUUUUUCCCGGCGCAAACCCUCCAACGCUCAAGUCAGAAAUAGGGGUUCUGGGAAUGUUUGCCACGAAUCUUAUGGCUUCUUUUUAAUCUCAGUUCUCGGAACUUUCUUUUCUUAGUUCUAAUAGCAAAAAGUCUAACCCUUUUACCUUUGCUGGCUACUUUUUUAUAGGCUUCCUCUGAAUCCCGGUCUUCCGUAGUCCACGCCCAUUACUCUUCCCACCCUCGGAUGUGGAUGCCCCAUUGUCGUCAUUGUGGGCGAAUGGAGAUGGACUUCGUGCCUUGAUUCUCGGAUAGGAACGCACGUCUUGCCAACUGUCGUUGACCGGGUCUCCUCGCCUCGACCCCUAGCAGGAAUGGCCUUAUGCCUCUAACAGGAGUUCGUCCUCGUGAAUGGCAUAUUUGUGGACGAGCAGAAUAUUCCUGCUCCUGUUCCCUUGCUACCAGGCUCUUACAGGACAUACCUGUUCGCAGAACUCUGCCACCAAAUAUAUGCUCAUCAUGUCUGGUCUCGUCGAAGUAUUUCCCUCAAACACCGGUCCCCCAGUUUCUGGUGUUGGGUAAUGUAAUGGACCAGCAGUAGAAACUCAACAGUUCUUGCUCGCGUGAGACUUGAAAAGGCUGCCAAGAGUCGUGUCGCAUUUAAUUGCGGAUGCAGUGAUGUGGCAGAAAUCUACCCCUUCGUUUGAAUUUCAAACCUACGGUUGCAAGAUUCUCAGAAUCUGCGUCAUUAAAUGCUGGCAGCCCAAAAGUUUGCUUCUCAGUAAGAAAACCCAAAAUCCUCAAACACGAACUCGUCAUUUUCUCCAUUCCUGUCUCUCCGGCUAAUGAACCUCGGCAUUAAAGCUUUCAUCCCUGUCUCUCUCUGAGCGAGUCCCUGCUUCAGGUAUUUCUUCUAUCUUCACGGUCUCGGUUAGUUGUAGAUAAUUUCUUUUCUCUUUGCUUUGCUUGGGGUAGUAUCUGGUAGUGGUGUUUUGGUUAUAACCUAGGGAAUGUCGAAGGGUAAGGAGAAAGUCGUUGAUAUUGAUGACGACGAACUAGGUUUCUUGCCUAGUCUGCUCACUGAUUCUGCUUUUGGCCCCGGGAUCCCCUUAGAGCCCACUAGGUCUAGUGUUGGGACUAGCGCUAGGAGGAUGUCCCCCCAAACAACCUCCACGAGCGGAAGUAGUGGCGAGGAGGGACCUUCUGGCUCGGAAGACACCCUAAGUGAGGAUCAAUGAGGUGACUCUGGUGAGGGAUCUUCACCGGGAACACUGCGACCAGAAGGGUGUAGUACAGUAGGAGGUAGAGCCUUGUCGCGGGAUUAUGCUAUUGAUUACAUGACCUGCACGACCACAUUCAACGAGCUGGAUGACCUCCGGCUCAGGUAUCAUAUUCCUGGUGAGGUACUCCUUAGGAUCCCAGGAAAGAAAGAUAGUCUUAGCAGGCCUCCUAGGGGAUUUGUCACCUUGUUCUUGGAGAGUUUUAAGUACGGGCUAAGGUGCCCCUUGCAACUCUAUUUUGCUCGCAUACUCCACGGGCUCAAUCUAGCUCCUGGUCAGUUGAACCCCAAUGGGUGGAGGGUGCUCUUUGGUCUGUUCAUAUUGUGGGACAGAUGUUGCCAAAGCGAGCCCACGGUUGAUGAGGUGAAGCACCUGUACCAGCUAAGGAGUAGCCCCAAAGAUGCCGGCUGGUACUACUUCCAAUCUAGUACCAAGAGUAGGAAACCCAUAACUGAUCUUCCAACUGGUGGUGGUGGGACUUGGAAGAGGAAAUUCUUUUUUGCUGGGGGUCCUUGAGGUCAAGUUGCACAAAUAGACGGGAAGGAUUGUCGCGUCCCACCCCGUUUCACGGUCCCAGGUUGCCUGCUCACUUUAGAUGUCUUGUAUCCAUAAUUGUUCUUACUUUAUUGGUUUGUCUCUAACCAAGUGUCUGUUUGUGUUGUAGUUUCUUGGGGUGUUCAUUUUCCGCUCAAACCUGAUCAGCUCAAACGGGUCGAGGCUGUACUAGCCAACUCCUGCCCGAGCCGAGAACUGAUAACUAUUUAUAACUUCCUCGAGUCUCGCUUGGUACUCCCUGGCCAUAAGAUGGAGGACGCUGUGAUUGGGGCUCUGAACAGGAAACGUUCUCGACCUCAAAACACGAAGAGGGACCAGAACAAGGACGCCCCUAGGGCAAAGCGGACCAACAUCGUGCAGCAAGUCUCUCCCUUGAAGACUUUACCUCCUGCUCCUGCCAAAGUCAGCGAAACUAGUGGAGCAGCCACAGAUCCUGCUUCCUCUUCUCCUCCUGUCGGGCCUCGAUCUCGCUUUCCUGACAGCCGAGCAGAACACUUGGUCCCCUAUCUCAAUGAGUUAUCUAAACUCGUGAGCAAGAAGGACCUGGAGGACUUUAAUGGCUGCACCCUGGGCGAGCUGGUAGGAGCCAUGCAGUAUAGUGCUUUCCAUCUCAGCUGCAUGACCACCUAUUAUAAGGCUAAGGUUGGCCGUUAUGACAGGAAGAUGAAGGAGGACAUUCAAUCAGCGAUGACCAGAGCUGACGCCGCCGAGAAGAAAGCAGGAGAGCUAAAUGUCGAGAACCUGAAGCUGAUAGAGCAAGAAUCUCUUGCUCAAGCAAAAGCCAUUACCCUCGAGGAGGAGCUGACCAAGGUCAAGGAGGAUCUUCAAAGGCAGAAGGCAAUGUAUGAGGCUCAGCUCGAAUCUCUCCGCGAUUCCCAUCGAGCUCAGGUCGAGAACUUGGAGAAGGAGGCCGACAACCAGUACGACCAGGGACUUCGGCAUUCCUAUCGUUGCAUCAUGGCCGUCCUCGGGAAGCAGCAUCCUGAUCUAAAGAUGGACGACCUUGCAGCUGGUGUCGCCCAACAUAUGGACGAGGAGGCUGCAAAGGAGGAUGCCGAAGGGGUAGACGCAAUCGUGAUUGAGGAGGAAAACUCUCCUCCUCAUGUAGACCCUGCUGACGUUGGCGAGGCGAGCACCCCCCCGGACGCAACUGGUGAUACCCCCCCUGCACCUGAGGAGGUCCAGCCAACCGAUGCUGCUCGGCAUACUGAUCCGCCAUCUUCUUGAACUUAUCUUGUGCUGUAAUUGCUUUUUGAAUAUUCUAUAUAACAGCUUUGUAAACUUUUAAGAGCUUAAUAAGAUUGUUCUUAUUUGCUUCCUCGCAUUGGUAUUUUAAUUUAUUUAUCUAUUUGGCUUCUGUCCUCGUCACAGAGGAGGCCUUGAAGUUUGACGAGCCUUUGCCUGUCUUGGAUAAUUUCUUCAAUGAUUGGGAUUCUGCUCGCCUUCGCGUGGUCGAGCAGAUCCUGGCACGCUUGGCUUUUGGUCUCGCCAUAAACAGGCUUUGAGACUCGACGAGCCUUUGCAUGCCUUAGUUUCUUCAAGGAUUGGGAUUCUGCUCGCCUUCGUGUGGUCGAGCAGAUCCUGGCACGCUUGGCUUCUGGUCUCGCCAUAAACAGGCUUUGAGACUUGACGAGCCUUUGCAUGCCUUAGUUUCUUCAAGGAUUGGGAUUCUGCUCGCCUUCGCGUGGUCGAACAGAUCCUGGCACGCUUGGCUUCUGGUCUCGCCAUAAACAGGCUUUGAGACUCGACGAGCCUUUGCAUGCCUUAGUUUCUUCAAGGAUUGGGAUUCUGCUCGCCUUCGCGUGGUCGAGCAGAUCCUGGCACGCUUGGCUUCUGGUCUCGCCAUAAACAGGCUUUGAGACUUGACGAGCCUUUGCAUGCCUUAGUUUCUUCAAGGAUUGGGAUUCUGCUCGCCUUCGCGUGGUCGAGCAGAUCCUGGCACGCUUGGCUUCUGGUCUCGCCAUAAACAGGCUUUGAGACUUGACGAGCGUUUACAUGCCUUCAAUUCUUCAAGGAUUGGGAUUCUGCUCGCCUUCGCAUGGUCGAGCAGAUCUUGGCACGCUUGGCUUCUGGUCUCGCCAUAAACAGGCUUUGAGACUUGACGAGCCUUUGCAUGCCUUCAAUUCUUCAAGGAUUGGGAUUCUGCUCACCUUCGCGUGGUCGAGCAGAUCCUGGCACGCUUGGCUUCUGGUCUCGCCAUAAACAGGCUUUGAGACUUGACGAGCCUUUGCAUGCCUUCAAUUCUUCAAGGAUUGGGAUUCUGCUCGCCUUCGCGUGGUCGAGCAGAUCCUGGCACGCUUGGCUUCUGGUCCCGCCAUAAACAAGCUUUGAGACUUGGUGAGCCUUUGCAUGCCUUUGAUAAUUUCUGGAAAGCUUAGGAUUCUGCUCACCUUCUCGUGGUCGAGCAGAUCCUGGCACGCUUGGCUUCUGGUCUCGCCAUAAACAGGCUUUGAGACUUGGUAAGCCUUUGCAUGCCUUUGAUAAUUUCUUGAACAGUGUAGUUGAUUCAAACUCCUCAUUGAUUCAUUUAUUAUUGAAUUCGGCUUACAUGAGGUUGCUUUGAAAUAAGAAAUAAAAAAAUAGAAAACAACAGACAUGAACAGAAAAAAAACUUUAAAACAUGAGUAAGUCUUACUAGAAAUAUUUCCUGAGGUGUGCCGCGCUCUAGGGGCGUUUCACCUCGUGGCCCUCCGUGCGAACCAACUUGUAAACUCUGGGUCCAACUAGCUGCCAUUCCUGGCUUCCACUCGGGUAUCAAAGGAUGUUAUCUGCAUUGCUUCCUUUGUUGCCGAGGAGUAACAGCUUCGUGCGAUUCUCUGGUCUCCUCGUACCACUCCAACUACCCCAUUCACCCGGUACUUGAGAGCCAGAUAAUGGUUGGACAGCACCGCUUUGCUCAUCCUCAGAAAUGGCCGGCCUAGGAUCAUCUGAUAAGGACCUUCCUCAUCCACUACCACAAAGUCCAGUAUCAUUGUCCUUUCUGUCGGGGAGCUCCCAAUCGUGAUAAGUAGCUCGACCACGCCCAGAGGGACCAACUUUCCUCCUCCAAACCCCUUCAAGGAGGUAUUGGUGUAAUCCAACUUCAGGUCUGCUAUUCCCAUUUCCUCCAGGGUUGACUUAAACAACACAUCAACUGAGCUCCCUGUGUCAACCAGUAUCCUGUCAAACUUCUUGCUGGCAACAGUGGCCUUGAUGACCAAAGCAUCCUCGUGGGGGUAUAGAAUCCCUUCUUCAUCCUCAUCUGUCCACAUGAUUGGCACUUGCCUGACUCUUGCACAUUUGGCUGCUGGGGUGUUGAAGAAUACAUCUUUGCUGGUCAUGGCGUAUCUAGCGUAAUUCUUCCUCGACCUGUUGGAAUCUCCGGCCAAUGUUGGGCCCCCAGCUAUCACCCUUAGUGCAGGAUGCUCGCGCCUCAGGUUUCUAUCACUCUGCUCCCCUUCAUAUGUCGAGGCCACCAUCGGGAAAGUCCCAUCUACAAACUCGUCCAGGUACCGAUUUCUCACCAAAUCUUCAACCUGGGUCUUGAGAUCUCUGCAUUCUGCGGUGGUAUGGCCAUGAGUGCCAUGGAACUUACAAUGGCGUCCCCUAUCCCUCCUGCCGGGUAGCUUUGUUAUUGGGGCAGGGAGGUACAGCAGUCCUCGGUCCUUUAUGGCCUCGUAUACUUCAUCUAGGGACAUCUUCAAGGACGUGUAUCGCCCAUACUCCUGGUUCUGGUCGAUCAGGUGCACGGCCCUUUCUCUAUUUGCUCCGUUCUGAGUUGGAGGCGAUGACAGCAUUUCUGGUCUGCUCCCUCUACUACCGUGGGAGUGUUGAUGAAGACCACCAUAUGUCGAAUCAUGCCUUCUCCAAGGCUCCCUAGCUGGGGAACGAGGAGGGUGCGCCCUGCUGCGCUGAUACUGUGGUGGCCUCUGAUGAGGCUGGUGAGCUGUUACCCGACCUCCUGCUCCACUACCUGAGGCCUGGAGGUCCCUCCUCCUGAUCGGCCAAUUUCCCAGUAAUGCCCUCUUUUCUUUCUUUUCCAACCCCUCCAGCUGGUCUGUCUUAAUCCGAGCUGCCUUUUCUUCCUCGAUCUCUAUGUCUCUUUUAGCUUGCUCGUAUGCGGCUGCAUACGUCUGAAUAGCUGGGCUUCUCAAGUUGUACCACAGCCUUCCUAUCUUCACUCCCUCUUUCAAUCCCCUUAGUGCCUGAGGAUGGUCGAAGGCUCCCAAAUCGAGGACAGCACGAUGAAACCUCUUGAUGAAUUCCCGAAGAGUUUCUUGUUCCCCUUGCUUCAUGCUUUUCAACUCCAUCAUGUCAUCUUCUAGUGCCAUUGCCCCACGAAACUGCUCUGCAAACUCCUGGCACAUCUGCUCGAAGGUUUUAAUGCUCCUCCCCCGAGGAAGUUUUCUGUACCACUCUCGUGCACGUCCCUCAAGGGAUAGUGGGAACACCCUGCCUGCACCUUUGGGAUUGAGAUAAUCCUUGUACCCCAAUUAUGUCGUUGAAGCGCUCUAUGUGCACCAGCGGAUCUGUUCGUCCCGAAUAUCUAAGGUCUGGGAGGCGGAAAUCUCUCGGAAUAACUGCCCUCAUGAUCUCUGCUGCGAGCGGUGAUUCUCCAUCUAGCAUUAUCCUCCAACCAGGAGCUCUGCUCCUUCCUUGCAUGUCGUCAAUUAUCUGCGCUAGUCUGCGCACUUCCUCCUCCAGCUGCACUGCACGACCAGGGUCACGUGCUGCAACUUGAUCCCGCUCUUGCUCUACAUCAAGCAAGUGUUGCCUCAACUCUGUUUCCUCUGCAUUUGCCACCCCGUCGUCCUCGUCAAAAAUCUGUCUUGCCGGGAAUUGCUCUUCCUCUCUACGGAAUUCUCCCCGCAGAGGUAUGUUACCUCUCUCACCACCAAAUCUCCCGGUGGUUUGACUUCUCCUCGUACUAUCGGGACCUAGUGCCACUCCACCAACUCUCAUCCUUUCCUCCUGGGUUACCCUUCGUUCACUCCGCAACUCAUGCAGGAUGGUUGUCAGGGUCUCCAUCUGCUUUUCCAUUCGUUCCAUUCGGUCGAACAUGGCUUUUUCCCGUGCUUCACUGGCUAUCUCCCUCAGAGUCACGGAAUCGUUAAGCCUCAUAUCACCCCCUUGUGCACUACUUCCUCCUGUCUCCAUUGCUUUUCACUUGCUUCACUCCUCUUCUUGCUAUCAACAGAAGCUUUUUGAUCAGCUCCCCACAGACGGCGCCAAAAUAUUGAUGCGAGAUUCUGGUUGUCCUCGUUCUACGACCAGGGUCUCUGCUCGAUCAACUUCACCACGACCAGGAUCUCUCCUCGUAAAGCUUCUUCUCCAGAGGUUCCUGCGCACACAGACAGGUCAGAGUACGCCGGUUGUUUUCCCGGCGCAAACCCUCCGACGCUCAAGUCAGAAAUAGGGGUUCUGGGAAUGUUUGCCACUAAUCUUAUGGCUUCUUUUUAAUCUCAGUUCUCGGAACUUUCUUUUCUUAGUUCUAAUAGCAAAAAGUCUAACCCUUUUACCUUCGCUGGCUACCUUUUUAUAGGCUUCCUUUGAAUCCCGGUCUUCCGUAGUCCACGCCCAUUAGUCUUCCCACCCUCGGAUGUGGAUGCCCCAUUGUCGUCAUUGUGGGCGAAUGGAGAUGGACUUCGUGCCUUGAUUCUCGGAUAGGAACGCACGUCUUGCCAACUGUCGUUGACCGGGUCUCCUCGCCUCGACCCCUAGCAGGAAUGGCCUUAUGCCUCUAACAGGAGUUCGUCCUCGUGAAUGGCAUAUUUGUGGACGAGCAGAAUAUUCCUGCUCCUGUUCCCUUGCUACCAGGCUCUUACAGGACAUACCUGUUCGCAGAACUCUGCCACCAAAUAUAUGCUCAUCAUGUCUGGUCUCGUCGAAGUAUUUCCCUCAAACAACACAUAGCAAACAUGACAUUAACUACUUGCAGCAGCAUCAUCCAGAAACUUCACUAUAAUCUUCUUGAGCUUUUCAGCGGCAUCUUUCGUAGAUGCCCUUUGUUUUGGUGACUCCAUGCAAAAAUCCAAUGCCGAAUGCAUGAUGCUUAAUAAACAAUUCAUUUUAUUAGUACAUUGGAUAUAAUCGAAGGCAGAGUAUAUUUCAGGACAAGUAGAGUAGCAUUCUUGGAUCCUUUGCUAUUAUCUUCUUUGCAAGGUGGGACUUGAGGUCCUGGUGGACAACAUACUGCAUAAUUCUAAAAAAAUUAUUGAGCUGAAAUGUUUUUAAAAGGUCUUUUGAUAGAAACUCCCCCUUCUAGCCUAUUGUGAGACACAUUAAGUUGUUUGAGAUAUAAGAGUGCCUCUAUUGACUUUGGAAUUUCUCCAGAGAAAUUGUUGCUUGGGAGAUCCAAAGAUUCCAACCUUAUCAAACUACCAAAUGAUUUGGGGAUUAGACCAUAAAAUUGGUUUCUAGCCAAGCUAGAUCUUUGGGGCCACCAAUAUUUACUGGCAUAUCACCUGAUAAUUGAUUUCUUGAUAAAUCUAACUCUAUUAAGACCCUUAAGUUUUGUAUAUCACUUGAUAAUUGUUUGUAUUGGGCCUUCUAUUUUCAUUAUAGAAUAAAUUAACUAUUAAUUUUCAUGAGAAAAAUACUUAUUUCCAUAAAAUUAUUCAAGCUUUUAAAAAGAUUUAGAAUUAAAAAUCAAACUUUGUACUGUAGAAAAUUUGCCGGUACGUUCAAUUAGUACUUUGUUUGAGGAAAUAAGAUUAGAAUAGGCUAUAGGUACGGUAGUUAUGCGGUACCUGUUUAAUAACCGUAGUAUAGUAAAUGUUUGACUUUUUUAUUAGAAAUAUAUCAUUAACAAUUUUGUUCGCUAAUUGAAUAGAGAAAGAAAGGGGGGGUGGGGGGGGGGGGAGGGCAAAAAGGUUAACACAUUUCGAAACUACAAACGAUUGCCUUUUCCUAUUAAUAAUGUUUGCGGAUUCUAACAAUUGAAUCUCAAGGUCAUUACAUAGUGAAUUUUAUAGUUAAUAAAAUUAAUAUUCCACAUACUAUCUACUCAAUUAAUGUCACAUUUUUUGAAACUUGAAUGAUCUAUUUGCUACAAUUAGGAGCCAACGUCGUAAUGAAUGUUAAAUUAUGCUGUUUGUUUUGAUUUACUUUUCUAUCUUAGCUCCAAGUGAUUAGCGGAAUGCUGGUCUUGUGAGUAUAAAAUGAACUCCUUAAGUCAAAUUCCUUCUGGGGUGUUGGAGAAAGAACUAAAUACAUGUAAUCUUGCUUUCGGAUAUGGAUUAUCUGAUGGAUGUUGUAUUUUCUAGGUAUUGAGGAGAUUCCUCAUUAUUGAAAAAUUACGUUCCCGAGCAUCAAAAGAUGAUCCCAUAGAAUUGCGUUCUCCUGUGACAAAAGAGGAGCUUGUAGCUGAGGUAUCGAUUUUUAUCUUUCUUGAUUGUUCUUUAUAGUUGUUUCUCAUCAAAAUAGAAAAAGCAGUUUGUUCUGAGUGACCUGUGCGGUCUACUAUCAAUCACUGCCAUUUCUAUCAUUUAGUACUAUUGACUGUGUGUAUAGAUAUUUUGUUUUUGCCAUGUAAUUUCAUGUUUGAUACAUUUCUAAUACAUUGCAUAGCGUUCAUGAACGAGAAUGAUAAACUAACUUUCAGGUGUGUUUAAGUAGAUGAAAAAACUUGGUACAAUUUAGAAGGAUUCACUAAUUUUCCAAUUUGUUUGUAUGGAGAAAUUGAAUAGUUAAUUGAUUAGAGGAUUGCAAAGUGGGUAGGUCCAGCUGGGCAUUGUCAAUAUUAACGAUCGAUGUUUUGAGAAGGUCUGGAGCUGACAUCACGGUUGCGUCUGUGGAGAAACAACUUCGUGUCGACGCGUGUCACGGUGUCAAGAUUGUCGCUGAUGCUCUCGUGUCUGACUGCCGCGACGCCGUUUUUGAUCUUAUAGCUCUUCCCGUAUGUAUUGCAGCUCACCUCAGCUCAUGCCAAUUUAUGUGAUGUUUGUAUAAUUAUAGAUGAUUAUUGCUGAUACUGAAUGUUAAGCUAAAUAAUUCGUUCUUAAGUCAUCUUCAUUUAAUUUUCGAUUGAAAAUGAAAAAAAUAAUAAUUGUAAGCAAAGAAAAAUAUCGAAAAUGUUUAUUUUGUUUUAAUUUUAUUUUUUAAUUUUUUGGGAUUUCCUUAUUGUGGCUGUUAUUAUUCAUUAUAUGGUCCUAGUUAAAUAUUUCAAGUUGUUGUAGUUAGUGAAUUUCUUUUCGAUAUUUAUUCUGGCAUGUAUAUUUUUUCUUUUCAAUUUCUUUUGUUGCUGAUUCUUUGAUUAUGUUAUAUCCUUUUUUGUUUCCCUUGUAGGGUGGCGUGCCUGGUGCUACCAAUCUGAAAGAAUCUGAAGUAUUAGAAAGCAUUGUGAAGAAGCAGGCUUCAGAUGGGCGUCUUAAUGCUGUUAUCUGUGCUUCACCUGCUGAGGCAUUAGGGUCUAGGGGUCUGUUGAAGGGAUUGAAGGUAAGAAUUAGAUAAACCUUUUUGAUGUUCUGUGGUCUUUUGGGAAUUGCACUGAUAUUUUUGUUAUAGUUCAGUUUUCUUCUCGCUGAUGAUUGUUAAGUUCUAAUUUAUGUAGUUGUUCAUUUUUCGUAGGCUACUUGUUAUCCGUCAUUUAUGGAGCAAUUAGCUCCUGCUUGUGCAACAACUGUUGAAUCAAGAGUACCACAGGAUGGUAAAGUUGUUACGAGUCGUGGACCCUGCACUACUAUGGAGUUUGCUGUUGCACUUGUUGAGCAGUUGUAUGGGAAAGAGAGAGCUGAUGAGGUUUCUGGGCCACUGGUAGUAACUUUUAUAGAUAAUGUUGUUUAAAAAAAUUGUGAGUUAUAUAAUUUGUUGAAAUUCAUUCUAAUAGGUUCAUCUGGUAUGUCAAAUUGGAAGGUUCAGAUGCUAAUGUAGUCCAAAAAAUUAGUUCAGGGGAAAAGUAUGACUUUUUGCAUUAGAGAUUUAUUAGAUGAAGUUGUAUACCUACUGGCCCAUCUUAAUAUGGUGAAAACGAUGUAAAAUCGGGAGAGGGGGUUCGGGGGAGAGGGGAAGCCCUCUCCAACCGCAAGGCCGUUAUUCUGACAUGAAUAGAGUAAGGCCUUUACUUUUAUAAAGAAAGGUCCCUGUUUUGCACGUCUCCACUGAUCACAUUCUUUUUAAUGUAAGUUCUUUCUCUUGGUAUUUGUCUUUGAUUUUUCUCUUCCUCAUGCUGUCGUCUGUCAAAAGAUUUGGCUGCAGCAUCUAGAAGUUUUGAAGAAGCAAAAUGGGUCACACGGCUUUGAAGUUCUAGAUGCCGUAAUGUUUGGUAAAAGUAAAAAAAAAUUCAAAGCUCAAAAAUUCAAAGUUCGAAAAACUGAAAUUUUUGAGCUGUAUGGCUUGUAAUUUUAUAGCCACUUUUUUGACUUUUAAGGAAAAGUUUUACCUAUAAAUACAAGCUCUCAAUUUAGAGCUUGCAUCCAAUUUUGUAAAGAGAGUCGAGAGCUGUGAAAAGCAAUUCUUGCAGAGCAGAGAGUUUGUAGAGCUUAAAUAAUAAAAGCUGUUGUUUUAAUGAUUUGAGAGUUUGGAUGUAUUGGGGUUUUGGGAAGUGAGCUAAAAUACUACAAUACUUGUAACUCCUUUUCACUAGUAAAAUAUUUUUCUUCUAUCUUCACCCAUGGACGUAGGUUAAAAGCCGAACCACGUAAUUUCCUGGUGUCCUCUUUGUGCUUCUUCUUGAUUUUUUUUUCCCAAUUUUACUUUAGUUGCGGCCCUGCUUCACCCGCCAAUUUCCUAACAGCGGUAUCAGAGCUAUUAGUUGUAUUAUUUGGAGUCGGGUACUAUUCACAUACGGUACUGUUCACAUAUACGGUACUAUUCAUGUAUACGUUACUAUUCACGUGAAACGGUGGGAGCAAUUCUAGUAUUGGCGAUGCAAAGCAGGGGAAUAGUGUGUGUGAGUGGAGUAAUUGUGUGGUUUUGGACAUGUGUAAGAAAGUUCUGUCACAAAGGCGAUAAGAGCCUAAGGAGUUAGGAUUUUAAGUGGGACUAUUGUGACCCCUCCAGUCUUUCCUGGGAACUUUCUUGGUGUGCUCUCACACAUACUCACAACUAUUCAAGCUGGUACACUAGUUUUGUACAAUAUUUAUCAACAAAAUGGUGGCAAAGUAUGAAAUUGAGAAGUUUAACGGAAAUAAUUUUUCGUUGUGGAAAAUGAAGAUGAAAGUUGUAUUGAAGAAAAAUAAUUGAUUGGCAGCAAUUAGAGAAAGGCCCAUGGAGAUAACUGAUGACAAGUGGAACAAGAUAUAUGGCAACGCCAUUUUUGAUCUACACUUGGCACUUACGGAUGAAGUAUUAUUCAGUGUGGCAGAGAAAACUACAGCGAAGGAAAUAUGGGAUACUCUCACAAAAUUGUACGAGACCAGGUCACUACACAACAAAAUCUUCUUAAAGAGGAAGCUCUAUACUCUUCGAAUGACGGAAUCUACAAUGGUGACCGACCACAUCAAUACCUUGAAGACUCUAUUUUCACAACUCACAACGUUAGGUCAUAAUAUAGAGGAAAAUGAACAUGCAGAGCUUCUACUUCAAAGUCUACCAGAUUCGUAUAAUCAACUCAUCAUCAACCUGACGAAUAAUAAUCCAGCGGACAGUUUGGUUUUCGACGAUGUUGCAGCCUCCGUAUUAAAUGAGGAGAGCAGGCGGAAAAAUAAGAAAAAUAGACAAGCAAGUUUGCAGCAAGCGGAGGCGUUAUCGGCGACGAGAGGGAGAUCAACGGAACGUGGCUGGCCCCAGUGGGAGUCACAAUCGUGGUAGAUCAAAAUCCAGAAGUAAGAAGAAUGUUAAAUGCUACAAUUGUGGUAAGAAAGGGCACGUCAAGAAAGAGUGUUAGAGUAACCAGAAGAGAAAAGAUGGCAAAAAACCUGAGUCAUCAAAUGCUCAGGGGUGUGUAGCAAGUACCUCGGAUGAUGACGAAAUUCUCUACAGCGAGGCAACAACUGUUUCAGAAGGUAGAAAAUGACUAUAUGAUGUCUGGCUUAUAGACUCAGGAGCUACCUGACACAUGACCUAUCGUAGAGAAUGGUUCCACACAUAUGAACAUAUCUCAGGAGAAUAUGCAUAUAUAGGUAAUGAUCAUGCCUUGGAGAUCGUUAGUAUUGGUACUAUCAAAAUAAAAAUAUUUGAUGGUACAAUUCGCACAAUUGAGGAGGUACAACAUAUCAGCGGCCUGAAGAAAAAUCUAUUGUCUUUGGGACAAAUGGAUAGUCAUAGGUACAAAACUCAUGUGGAGAAUGGAAUUAUGUAGAUCGUUAAAGGCGCGCUUGUAUUGAUGAAGGCAGAAAAGAUCAGUGCUAAUUUAUUCAUGCUUAAAGGAGAAACACUACAGGAGGCUGAUGUAUGUGUCGCGUCAAAUGGAGAAGAGUCAACGAUGAUGUGGCAUCUCAAACUUGGCCACAUGUCAGAACAAGGCUAGAAGAUUCUCUCUGAGUGAAAAUUGCUUCCAGGGUUCAAAUCGGUAAGUUUACCAUUUUGCGAGCAUUGUGUUAUAAGUAAGCAACAUAGAUUAAAGUUCAGUAGAUCUAUUACUAGAAGUAAAUGCAUUCUAGAAUUGAUUCAUUCUGAUGUUUAGGAAUCGCCGGAUAUGUCCAUGGGAGGUGCAAAGUACAUGGUGACUUUCAUUGAUGAUUAUUGCAGGAGAUGUUGGGUGUAUUCAAUUAAGAAAAAGUCAGAUGUAUUUCCAGUGUUUAAAGAAUACAAAGCGCGGGUGGAACUUGAAUUUGGUAAAAGGAUCGAGUGCUUGGGGACAAAUAAUGGUGGAGAGUAUACAGACGGCGAGUUUCUUGCUUUCUGUAAGCAAAAAGGUAUUUAGAGGUAGUUAAUGGUAGCAUACACUCCUCAACAAAACGGAGUGGCGAAGCGAAUGAACAUAACUCUUACAAAAAGAAUAAUAGCUAUGUUGAGGACUGCUGGUCUACCCAAUUCAUUCUGGGCAGAAGCAGCCAAAACUGCCUGUUAUAUCGUAAAUCGAUUGCCAUCUACAACAAUUGGGCUGAAGACAGCGAUGGAGAUAUGGACUGGAAAGCUAGCUGAUUACUCAUACCUACAUGCAUUUGGAUGUCCUGUGUACGUGAUGUACAAUGCCCAAGAAAGAAUAAAGCUUGAUCUAAAAUCUAGAAGAUGUAUCUUCUUGGGAUAUACUGAUGGAGUAAAGGGGUAUCGUCUGUAGGACCCCACUGCCCACAAGAUCGUCAUCAGCAGAGAUGUUAUUUUUUGUAGAAGAUCAACUACAAAGGAAAGAUAGAGAUGAUGACACUGUAAAAGAAAAGUCAGAGACUGUGCCAGUAUAUGUGGAAAAUAAUCCAGAAGAUUCAGAUUCUUCUGAAGCAACACCAGAGCAUGAAGAAUAAGAAUCAGUCGAGUUCGAGGCUCCAGAAGUUCGUCGGUUAACUCGUGAAAGACGACCGCCAACGUGACACUCGGAGUAUGUCACAGAGAUCAACGUUGCAUACUGUUUUCUAACAGAGGAUGGAGAGCCUUCAACUUUCCAUAAAUCUUUAAACAGCUCAGAUGUUACUUUAUGGAUGACAACAAUGCAGGAAGCAAUUGAGGCUCUACAUAAGAACAAGACAUUGGAGCUUGUACCACUACUACGUGGAAGAAAAGAUAUUGGAAACAAAUAGAUCUACAAGAUCAAAUGUGAUGGUAAUGACCAAGUGGAACGGUAUCAUGCAAGAUUGGUGGUGAAAUGAUAUGCUCAGAAAGAAGGUAUUGACUUCAACGGAAUAUUUUCUCUGGUGGUUUGACUCACAACAGUCAGAAUAGUCUUGGUAAUGUGUGCUACAUUUGACUUACAUCUUGAGCAGUUAGAUGUGAAAAUUGCAUUUCUUCAUGGAGAACUUGAAGAAGAAAUUUAUAUGCUCCAACCAGAAGGUUUUGCUGAAAAGGGAAAGGAGAACUUGGUUUGCAGGUUGAACAAAUCUUUAUACGGUCUCAAACAGGCACCGAUGUGUUGGUAUAAGAGAUUUGAUUCCUUCAUCAUAAGCCUCAGAUACAAUAGACUCAGCUCAGACCAAUGUGCAUAUUAUAAAAGGUUUGAAGAUAAUGAUUUCAUUAUUUUGAUAUUGUAUGUGGAUGACAUGUUGGUAGCAGGCCCCAACAAAGAUCGAGUCCAAGAAUUGAAGGUAUAAUUGAUUAGGGAGUUUGAAAUAAAGGACUUGGGACUAGAAAAUAAGAUUCUAGGGAUGCAAAUUCACCGAGACAGAAAUAACAGGAAGAUUUGGCUUUCUCAGAAGAACUACUUGAAGAAAAUUUUGCGACGCUUCAACAUGCAAGAUUGUAAGUCAAUUUCUACCCCACUUCCUGUUAAUUUCAAAUUAUCCUUAAGUAUGUGUCUGAGCAAUGAAGCAGAGAAGGAGGAGAUGUCUCGAGUACCGCAUGCAUCAGCAGUGGGAAGUUUGAUGUUCGCUAUGAUAUGUACUGGAUCGGACAUUGCACAAGCAGUGGGAGCAGUCAGUCGGUACAUGGCAAAUCCUAGUGGAGAGUAUUGGAUAACUGUGAAGAAGAUUCUGAGAUACAUCAGAGGAACCUCAGAUGUUGCAUUAUGUUAUGGAGGAUCAGAGUUUACUGUCAGGGGUUAUGUGGAUUCAGAUUUUGUAGGAGACUUUGAUAAAAGAAAAUCCACUAUUGGCUAUAUGUUUACACUUGCAGGAGAAGCUGUAAGCUGAGUUUUGAAACUGCAGACCGUUGUGGUUUUAUCUACAACAGAAGCAGAAUACAUGGCAGCUACACAAGCUUGGAAGGAAGCUAUCUGGAUACAAAGGUUAUUGGAGGAGUUCGGGCACAAACAAGAGAAAAUUUUUGUGUAUUGUGACAGUCAGAGUGCCUUGCAUAUUGUAAGAAAUCCAGCAUUUCAUUCAAGGACAAAGCAUGUAGGAGUUCAGUAUCACUUCGUUCAAGAAGUAGUGGAAGACGGAAGUGUGGAUUUACAGAAAAUCCAUACGAAGGAGAACCUAGCAGAUGUUUUGACCAAGCCGAUAAAUACUGAUAAGUUUGUCUGGAGUAGAUUCUCUUGUGGCCUAGCAGAAACGUAGGCAACAUGACAGUGGCGAAGCAGAAACGAUGGUGUGGAGAUUGAUUGAUCCUCAAUCAAAUCUCCAAGUGGGAGAAUGUCAAAAGAUUUGGCUGCAACAUCUAGAAGCUGCAUCUAGAAGUUUUGAAGAAGCAAAAUGGGUGGCACAUGACUUUGAAGUUCUAGAUGCUGUAAUGUUUAGUAAAAGAAAAAGAAAAAAAUUCAAAGCUAAAAAAUUCAAAGUUUGAAAAUCUAAAAUUUUUGACCUGUAUGGCUUGAAAUUUUAUAGCCACGUUUUUUACUUUUGAGGCAAAGUUUUGCCUAUAAAUACAAGCUCUCAAUUUAGAGCUUGCAUCCAAUUUUGUAAAGAAAGUCGAGAGCUGUUAGAAGCAAUUCUUGCAGAGCAGAGAGUUUGUAGAGCUUAAAUAAUAAAAGCUCUUGUUUUAGUGAUUUGAGAGUUUAGGUGUAUUAGGGUUUUGGGAAGUGAGCUAAAAUACUACAAUACUUGUAACUCUUUUUCACUAGUAAAAUAUUUUCCUUCUGUCUUCGCCCGUAGAAGUAGGCUAAAAGCCGAACCACGUAAUUUCCUGGUGUCCUCUUUGUGCUUGUUCUUUAUUUUUUUUCAAUUUUAUUUUAGCUGCGGCCCUGCUUCACCCACCAAUUUUCUAACAUCGUCUUCACUGUCACCCUGUGCCUAGGUAAUGCGUGCAAAUCAUGGGGUUGAAUACACUAUUGCUGAAUUCAAUCCAAUUCAGUGGACAUUUGACAAUUCUCCCCAGGUGAGAUUGGACUUCUAGUUUCUUGUAUUUGUUUUUCUUCAUCCGAUGUUUUCAGGGAUACCUAUUUGGCAGUAUAUAAAAAUCUGUGAUAUCGUCUAUACAUAUACAUAUACAUCAUUGGCUUCAGUCAUUUGUGAACAUAUUGGUGGUAGUAGAUGUAUUUUUAUGAUAUCUCUAAUAAAAUCCUAAGUUUGAUUAAUUACAAAAGAAGUAUGAGCGGUGCUGGACCGGGGGGGAGGGGGGAGGAGUGGGGUGUCGGUGUGUUGGGGGUGUGCAGUGCAUGAAUAAAAGGAAAUGAUAGGGGGUGAAAGUUUGUGCUACCGACAUGCUGUAAAAUGGGGACACAAUAUUUCAAAUUAGAGAUUGUGAGAUCCUUAAUAUUGCUGACUUGUGCUUAAAAUGGAAUUCUUGAUAACUUCAAAUGUUAAAGUUCUUGGUGAAAUUUUGUACUUUCUUUUCUUUCAGAUUCUUGUGCCUAUUGCAAAUGGUUCAGAGGAGAUGGAAGCUGUUAUGAUAAUUGAUAUUCUGCGACGAGCUAAAGCAAAUGUUGCAGUUGCAUCAGUUGAGGAUAAACUAGAAAUUCUGGCUUCGUCAAAUUAAAUUAGUGGUAGAUGUGCUCAUUGAUGAGGCGGCUAAACUUUCGUAUGAUUUAGUUGUCUUGCCAGUGAGUUGGGGUGCUUACUCUUGCUUCAUAGUCUUUACCACAUUAUUGACUUACUAACUACAAUUUAUCCAUGCACAUUGCACAGGGUGGACUUGGUGGCGCUCAAGCAUUUGCGAAGUCAGAUAAAUUGGUGAAUAUGCUAAAGAAGCAAAAGGAAUCAAAUAGACCUUACGAUGCUAUAUGUGCAUCCCCAGCUUUAGUGUUGGAGCCCCGUGGCUUACUCAAGGUACGACCAUUUCUGCUUAAAUUAUUUACUCAGAUUUGGAUCACCUAAUCUGAACUUGAUGAGAGAUUAUGAUGUUGUAUGAUUUUAUGAAUGUGGUCUUAUCUCAUGUAAGUCAGUGAUGAAUUAAUUGGAGUUUGUUGACAAAUUAGAAGCUGAAAAACUGCUGCUGCUUCGUUAGUUACAUUACCCAAAGAGUUAAAAUUAACAUCACAAAUUUGUUAUCCCAAAUGAUAUGGCAUUUAUUGAGUGAUUGGUAUUAAUUGUAUUAUCUAACCCACCAACAGAUGAAUGCCG